AAAUAGCUCUCUCCUUAUAAAAAAAGCGUCACGCUUAUAUUUUUAAAUUAAACACAGUAAUCAACUCGUGAUUUUAGUAUUUUUUUCUUUUUAUUAUCAUUAAAUCAUCGUGUUCAACAUAAAAAUACCAGGGUGAUACUCGAGUGGCGAAAAAAGUGUCAUCUAGAUAAAGAUAAGUUUAGUAGGGUUAUGUGUAAAAAAAUAUUUGAGAGGGCUAAAUGUAAAAAAAAAAAAAAUCUUUUCUCAUUUAAAUCUCCAACCUUAUAUUCUCCUAUUAUAAUUAACAAAACUAUUAUUAAACUCUAUACUAAAGUUGAAACCAAAUGUUGUUCCUUCGUUGAGCCACGUGGUCUUUCUUUUAUAUGGAUUUUCUCUCUCUCUCUCUCACAUGUUCUCUCUCCCUCACAUGGACUCACAUGGGCUAUGUUCAAGGGACAUGCACGUGCCUCUUUGUACCUUCUCUCUACAAUUAAAAAUUGGGCUUUUUUUGCAAAUUGCCCCCUGACAAAUUUUAUUUGCAAAAAUAGCCCUGUGUAAAAUUUAUUUGCAAAAAUGGCCCUGGCCCUGCCACGCCAGCGCCACGUCAGCGCCNAUUAUUGAGAUUCUAUUGGUUGUGAUGUUGUAAUGUGUAUUAAUUUUGUGAUGUUGUGAUGUGCAUUACUUUUGUGAUGUUGUGAUGUAUUGUGAUGUGUAUUGAUAGGUAUCUGUAUCGUAUUCUUUUAUUGAAUCUUGUAAUUCAUUUUUCUUCAACAUGUAUCUGUAUCGUAUUCUUGUAUUGAAUCUUGUAAAUGAUAUUUCUGCGGCAAACUACUUGUAGGGCUGGCAGUUGUAUUGGACACGGUGAAUGGAUGACCGUGUCCAAUACAAAUGUAAUGGACACGGUGAUCCAUUCACCGUGUCCAAUACAAAUCUAUUGGACACGGUGAUCCAUUCACCGUGUCCAAUAAAAAUCUCUGGACACGGUGAGUGGUUCACCGUGUCCAAUACAAAUGUAUUCAAUACCCCGAAAAUGGUUAAGUCCGUGACCAAUACAAGUAGCCAGGCCGUGUUUUGCCAAAAAUGGAAGUGAAGGACACGGUAAAUGGUUCACCGUGUCUAAACGCGGUGAACAGUUCACCGUGUUUAGACACGGUGAACGAAUCACCGUGUCUAAUGCAAUACUAACGCUGGGGCAGGGUGUGAGAACACUAUGAACACGGUGAUUGGUUCACCGUGUUUAGACACGGUGAACCAAUCACCGUGUUCAACUUAACUACCUGGCCGAGCCCCUGCCCGCGUGGCGCUGACGUGGCGCUGGCGUGGCAGGGCCAGGGACAUUUUUGCAAAUAAAUUUUACACAGGGCUAUUUUUGCAAAUAAAAUUUGUCAGGGGGCUAUUUGCAAAAAAACCCCUUAAAAAUCUAAUCUCUUCCCUUUCUCUCUCUCUAUUGUUUUUUCUAACCGAACACACACACAAAAAAAAUAUCACUUAUUUAAUUUCACCUCGAGUGGUUUGCUGGGCCAUGCAUGUGCCUCUUUUGCACCUUCUCUCUACAAUUAAAAAUCUAAUCUCUUCCCUUUCUCUCUCUAUUGUUUUUUCUAACCGAACACACACACACAAAAAUAAUUUUUCACUUAUUUAAUUUCACCUAGAGUGGUUUGCUAAUUAUUUUACGCUGCUUCAACUUUGCUCGCCUGCUUAAAUUUCAGCUUUUUUGAUGAAUUUUCUUCGCUGCAUUUGUUUUGAUUUGAUUGAGUAAAAACAAAUCAUAAAAAAAAGGUGUUCCAUCAUUAAAUCACGUCGGGCAUGAAUGUGCCUCUUUGCACCUUCUCUCUACAAUUAAAAAUCUAAUCUCUUCUCUCUCUCUCUCUAUUAUUUUUAUAACCGAACACACACACACACAAAUAAUUUUUCACUUAUUUAAUUUCACCUACAGUGGUUUGCUAAUUAUUUUACACUGCUUCAACUUUGCUCGCCUUCUUAAAUUUCAACUUUUUGAUGAAUUUUCUUUACUGCAUUUGUUUUGAUUUGAUUGAGUAAAAACAAAUCAUAAAAAAAACAGUGUUCCGUCAUUAAGUCACGUCGCCUGUUUCAUUAAAUCUGAAGUUUUAGUUACUGUAACAUUCAUGCACCUUGUGUUUGAUGCUAAACAACAUUGCUAUAUAUAGAAAAAGUUGGGGAGGAUACAUGCAUUCUAAUGAUAAGAAAGAAAGCAAAAGGACAAGGAAUAUUCUAUAUACUAUGGAAAAUUUUGUUUCAUACAUCCUGUGUUUGAUGUUAAACAAUAUUGCUAUAUAUAGAAAAAGUUGGGUAGGAUGCAUACAUCGGAAUGAUAAGAAAGAAAGCAAAAGGACAAGGAAUAUUUUAUGUAGUAUGGAAAAGUUUGUAAGAGAAAAGUUUAUCCUGUAUGUGAGAUACAAUUUUUAUUGAACUUAGAAAAGUAAAAGGCAAUUUACAAAUAAUUCAUGGUAAAAUUGGAAUGAAAACAGGAGAUUUAGAAUUUUCUGUAAGGAAUGUAGUUUUUGUUAGCAGAAAAUUUAGUGUAAGAAAAUUUUGAAAAUGUGAGAAUAUGUCGGAAUUAUUUUUUUGAUGCUAGAUUUAAAGUUUCGUGUCAUUCUGACACUCGAAAAGUGAGGACGAAACAUAAUAGCAAUCUGAUAAAGAUUUUAGUUGGUAGACCUUUCGGCGACAAAAAAUGAUUCAAAACUGAAAAUUAAGAUCACGUUCUUUUGGUUGAUUUUAAUUGAGCUUGACUUUCAAAUUUGAGCUUAAACGGACAUUCAGAAGGGCUCCAACUAAAAAUAUCAGAUUCUGAACUAAAUUAAACUAUAAGUUGUAGUUGUUGGGGAGCCUAUAUGUAAGCCCAUACCAUCUCUCCCUGGUUUUGCCCAACACGUGUGAGAGUGGAGAAGGUUCUCUUUCUCUCUUUCUCUCCCACACACACCCACAACAUGAGAGCUUCUCUCUCUUUCUCUCAAUCCCUCUACAUUUUCGGUUUAGGUAGGUUCGAAUUUUCCCUCUCUUCUCUUCCUACAGAAUGUGAAUAUCCGCCGUGAAUAUCCACCGUGAAUUGUAGAGUAAUCUUAUCUGAAAAAAACUCUGGAUCUCUCAUCUGAAAAAAAAAAUCUAGAUUGGCACAAUUGGGAUGGAAAUUGAAUGCCAUGUUUGUAGUAGCCGUGCGAGUUUGAAUUCAAAUAUGAACUUAGACUUCAAGAACCAACAUGAUUCAUGCUCAGAACUCCUAACUUGACCAGAUAAAUAAAAAAAACAAUUAUGUCAGAGAUAAACUCGAUUUUUUUGAACUUAUAAUAUCAUCGCUAAUAAAUCGCCAUUUGACCAAACAACUUCAAUAAUUUAGCAUACAAUGGACUUCAAAUUUUUGGUAGAAAAAAAAAAACAUACAACCAAUUUGCAUAACUUUUAUUUUUUUACAUAAAAUAUUAAUAAUUACACAACUGUCUAUAAUUGUAUGCCUUAAGUCGUAAUCUGUCAUAUUAUAACAGUUUACAAAACCAACCUAUGAAAUAUGGUAGAUUAAAAUUUGAUAGUGAAUUGCAUCAAAAUUUCUAAUUUAUUUCAACUUUCAAGUUGAAGAAAAUUUGCUGUGGUGUGAGUUAAGUAGCUUAAUUUUGUGCCCAAUAUUUAUCUAACUAAAUUGGAUUAGGUAAUUUUAGUUGGCUAAUUCUAAUACUAGCACAUGACUUUCAUAUUUCGAAAAUAUUUAUAUUUACGCAACUAAAUUGGUUAGUUAGAAUUCAUUCCAAUAAUUCAACAAAACCAUUUGUAUUUACGCAACUAAAUUGGUUACUUAGAAUUCAUUCCAAUAAUUCAGCAAAACCGACCUAUAAAUCACGAAAGCUUAGAAAUUAUUAAAUUGACUCAAAAAAAUAAUUUACUUAACCACUAACAAUGGAAUAUUUAGUUUACUUAAUCCAUUAAUGUGCUGCUGGUUUGAAAAUUCAAACCUACCUAAAUCGAAAAUGUAGAGGGAUUGAGAGAAAGAGAGAGAAGCUCUCAUGUUGUGGGUGUGUGUGGGAGAGAACGAGAGAAAGAGAACCUUCUCCACUCUCACACGUGUUGGGCAAAACCAGGGAGAGAUGGUGUGGGCUUACAUAUAGGCCCCCCAACAACUACAACUUACAGUGUAAUCCAAUUCAGAAUCUGAUACUUUUAGUUGAGGCCAUUUUGAAUGUUCGUUUACGCUCAAAUUUGAAAGUCAAGCUCAGUUAAAAUCAACAAGAAGAACGUGAUCUUAAUUUUUCAGUUUUGAAUCAUUUUUUGUUGCCGAAAGGUCUACAAACUAAAAUCUUUAUCAUACUGUUGUUGUAUUCCAUCCUCACUUUUAAAGUGUCAGAAUGACACGAAACUUUAAAUCUAGCAUCAGAAAAAUAAUUCCGAUAUAUUCUCAAAUUUUUAUAAUUUUCUUACACUGUGAAUUUUCUGCUAACAAAAAACUACAUUUCUUACAGAAAAUUUUAAAUCUCUUGUUUUCAUUCCAAUUUUACCAUGAAUUAUUUGUAAAUUGUCUUUUACUUUUCUAGGUCCAAUAAAAAUAGUAUCUCACGCACAAGAUAAAUUUUUCUCUUACAAAAUUUUCUAUACUACAUAGAAUAUUCCUUAUCCUUUCGCUUUUUUUCUUAUCAUUCCGAUGCAUGCAUCCUAUCCAACUUUUUCUAUUUAUAGCAAUAUUGUUUAACAUCAAACACAUGGUGCAUGAAACAAAAAUUUUCAUAGUACAUAGAAUAUUCCUUGUCUUUUUGCUUUCUUUCUUAUCAUUAGAAUGUAUGCAUCCUCCCCAACUUUUUCUAUAUAUAGCAAUGCCGUUUAGCAUCAAACACAGGGUGCAUGAAUGUUUAGUUUUGUCUCUACCUAUUUGUCUUUCAACAUCAACCAUGAUAUAGAAUAUUCUCCAACAUGCUAUAUGUAUACACUUCAAAUAAAGAAGAUUGUUAGAGAAACCCAUGCUUUCCAGGUUAUUCCUGAUUUUCAGAGAUCAGCUAUGAACCAUUACUCCUUUAAAGUUACAAAGAUAUUUCAUGUGAAUUGUCUUCACGAUAAAGACAAUCAUAUUGCAAAGGAAUUUAAUAGUGCGGUCGCUUCUGAAAAUCAACUUAUUAUACCUGAUAAAAAUAGUGCUCAAGUGGAAAAUACUAUUGGCGAAUAUGGUCCUACCGAAAGCCAAUCAAGGUAUGAUUAACAAACAAGUUAAGAACUGAUUAUAAAUUAAUAUUUUGUCUGUUCAAAAAAAAAAUUAUCUAAUAAUUAAUGUUCUAUCUGUUUUCAGCAAAAGGUUGAAUCUUAGACAGUUUCUGAUCAUUGUUGGAUUCUUAAAUUGGCACGGGUGAAGCAAUAUAUUUAUUAGCCGUCAUUUCAAACUUCAGGUUUUUUGAGCCCCCAGCGGUAGCUGGCGCGAUGUGGAUUGGUUCCACUAUUGAAACAGUAAUUCUGAAAUGCUGUUUGGCCUAGUUUUGAGACUAUGGCUUCUAUUGUCUUGCUACACUUUGCAUGGGCCUGUUCCGUCACUUAAGAUGGCACCGUUCGAAGCAGCGAAUGAGGUGUGGAGAUGUAUGGCAUGGGUCGGGACACUUCAUACGCUGCAGUGGCGUUCAUGUGAGUUUAAGAGAAAAUCAACGAAAUUUGAAUUGUACCUAUGUUCUGAUCGUGCCAUUAUGAGUUGUGGGUAAUUUUUUGUCAAGUUUAGUGGCGAUUUGGUGUUGAGGGGCAUUUUAAAGCUGAAUGCAUCCUGUGUGCGUCAUCCGACAUUGAUGUGGUGUUCGGAAUAUUGAAAUUUGGCAUUUUUUCCAGUUAAGCCGUUGGGUUAGGAGCACACUAUCAUGAUUGUUGCUGGUUGAAACUCUAUUGUAGUUGCAUCCCUAGUGAAAAAGACCCACGGGAGUGAUCUUGUUGUCUUGUGUUGUCCAACUAUCGAAAAUAACAAUUUUGAGAUUUAUGGACAAAAUUUCGUAGUUUCGGUGCACUAAUUGUACAAUUGGACUUCGAAACUUGUGGAAGGUAUUCCCGAGGGUCCUUACUAUUUGUGAACAGUGGUUGAAAGGUGAGGCUGGUACAAUUGAUUUUGUCAUCGAAAUUGGUUUGAUUCAGAGCUAUCGUGGUCUAGGUCGACUGCUGUAAUCCGUUUUGUCAAGCACUUGGCGUGAGGCUAUCACAACACUUAUAAGUGGCGUGUCUCGUGAUAGCGAAAGGGAUGCUAUAACUCUUUGCUAAGUUGGAUGGUCUUUGGGCUUAUUUUUGAAAGUCCGCUUGUGGAAUCAAUAUUUCAUUUGUGUUGAGGUGCAAUUUCGUGCGAUUUGGACGUGUUGGUUGGUAUAGAUGACACGUUGCGGCUAACUGUAGUAGUUGAUUGUUUUGUCUGGAUUCGGGUGACACCUAGAGAUAUCACUCGAGUCGAGAACCUAGGUACUUGAUUUGGUGGGUGAUUCGAUUCGAAGUUGGUUAAGUUGUUCUUACUUGGUUUUCCCAUAAUGUUUCUAUUGUUCCAUAACACAUGUUAAGUAGUAUAGCUUAUCAUGACACCUUAUGUAAUGUAUCGCAUCCCCGUGAGUUGUGCCGAGUUCUGACGAAACGAGCGGAGCGCGGAUUCGGACAAGUUAGAGUGGUUCGCAAAGUGUUUAAAACGCUUUGGAACGAGUUGCAUAGGGGUUAGAGGACCCAUGAGAGCAAGAUGGGAAAGUUUCAACUUGAAACUCAAGAAUUUUGCUCUCGGGGUUUGGACCCUGUGCAGGGUCCGGACCCCGUAAGCGAAAAUUACCCAGUUCGGGCAGUGCAUAGAUUGCAUUGUUUGGGGUGUUAGGUGCAAUUUUGUUAUGAGAGGGGUGUAUAGAAGUGAAGGGCUUAUGUUUAGGGCUCAUUUCUCUCAACCCAACCUAAUGUUAGGGCUCCCUCUCUCUCUCUCUAAAAACUUUCUCUCUUUUUAGAGCUUGAGCAAGAGGGGCUUUUGGAGGGGCUUUGGUGGAGAAGAAGACCAAGACAAGGGUGUUGCUUGAAAUUGUGCAAGAGCUUGGAGGAAAGCUUGAACCUAAAGGUUGGUUUUCAUGUUUCUAAGCUAGGUUUUGGUUUAAUUCCUUCUAGCAUGAGUUCUAGGAGUUGUAGUGGUAGAUUUCUCCAUUUCCCUCAUGUUAGGGACUUGAUUGGAGAAGAUGAUGUUGUGUAGGGACCUAAUGUUAGGAUUUUGUUAAUACGAGGUCUAAGCUUUGGAUUGAUCUUUUAUUACCCUAAUUGUUAGGUUGACGAACGCGUUGGCGAGCUCGGUUCGGCGAUCCGACAAGCGUACGCGGAGAUAUUGGCGAAAAAGUCUAUUUUGGCUUCGUUUUGCCGCAUAGGUGUCCAAAAAUCAUGAGAAUCGAACGGUAGCAUCUUAGCAUUCCUAUAAGGUAGGGAGUGCUAUCCAGAAUCUCUGAAUUCCCCCCUAUGUCUAUGUUGCCUUUUUAUUGAGCAUAUGUGAAUAGUCCCAUCAUGCAUGAUAGGGUAGUUGACAUGUGGUUAUUGGUUGAGAUUCAAUUGUAUGCUUCUAAUGUAGAUGAACAUAGUAAUUGACAUAGAACCAUUUGAGACGUGUAUGUUGGAACCCUAUGCUUGUGUGAAUGUGAGAUAUGGACUAUGAUAAUAAUAAACAAAGGUGACAUUGACAUUAGCGAGUGAAUAGUCCCAUUCAUGCAUGAUAGGGUAGUUGACAUGUGGUUAUUGGUUGAGAUUCAAUUGUAUGCUUCUAACGUAGAUGAACAUAGUAAUUGACAUAGAACCAUAUGAGAUGUGUAUGUUGGAACCCUAUGCUUGUGUGAAUGUAAGAUAUGGACUAUGAUAAUAAUAAACAAAGGUGACAUUGACAUUAGCGACGAGAUUGGCACUGAGAGAUGAAUUGCUAAACAAGGUUAAACCAAUUGUGGCAUUAUGGCAAGUGUGGCCUAGAUAGUGGUAUAUAUGACAAGGUAGAAACCUGUCAUUGCAUUGUGGCAUCGUGGCUUGUGGCAAAAUAGCAAAUGUGGCUACACGUCCUCAAAUUGAGGAUUGAAUUGUACUCACAUUAAGUCUUGACUUGAGGGAGGUAGCUCCCCCUCAAGCGGUGCGUUCCGGAAUUGACACCACGGGGAGAGCGAUCCCCGAAGACGGUCCCUCGGGCGUGGUAAAGUCCCCCCGAAUGAUAGGAAUUUUGGAUUGUGAGUUUGGGGUUAACAAGUGUUAACCGGUUUGAUUGGGUAAAAGCCAAAGAGAAAGAAAGCAUGCAUGCGUAUUUAUCAUACAUAUGAUUAUCUAUCUGUUGAUCAGUUUCUUGCAGGCAUAGUAUUAGCAUUAGUGUGGUUUGACACUUUCAAAUAGGGUAUAUCCCUGUUUAAUCAAAAAAAAGCAUUAGUGUGGUUUGCUAUAUCUACUUUCUUUCAUACUUAUGCCUGAAUAGACCUAGUGGGCAAAUCGGCGAGAUCGGCGGCCGAACCCACUGGGAACUUCGAUGUAGUUCUCACACCACUAACCCUACAGAUCCGAGCGCGAGCGGGGCAGUGGAGGAUCGAGGCAAGGGUUUAGCGCCGUAGUUAGUGGCUACCGAAGUAUAGUCAUUUCCUUUGUACAUUCAACUUUUGUAUGUUGAAAAGAGAUGUAUAAAUCUUUAUGUUUUGGGUUGGAUGAAUGUAAAUGAUGUAAAUAUAUGGAAAUGAAUGGAUGUAAAUGUGGUUACUUGUAUUUGGUUAAAAGGUAAUCAAAUGACAUGUAUGUGGUUGUAUGUUUAGUGUAGCAGCUUAGAGCUUUCACUACUUGUCGUUGUUGCUUGUCCUCGAGCAAGCCGUGUAUGAUUGCAUUCACUCUAUGUUGAAUUGCUUUGAUUGUACAUGUGUUGGAACCUUGGGUGGACGGGGGAGGUGCUGUCCGUUCGGCCUCUGUUGACGUGCCCGAACCGACCAAAUUGGCGGUAGCGGGACGUGACAGAUAUAAUGGUAUCAGAGCCGUGGUGAAAGUAAAAAAAGUCUAGGAUGGUCUUAGGGACCUUAGGGUUGGAGACCUCAGGGACUUAGGAAACGUUUAACGUGGACUUGGUUAUGCGGAAGCUAAUUGAUUGGGUUGUUGUCAGUACUUCUCUCAAAGGAGUUGGAGAUAGAUUCAAGUGCUUAGUUGUUUUUUUCUUGAGGGAUUAUGUGGGGCGGCCGACUACAUAAUGCCAAGGGUUGAAAAUGAGUACACUUGAUCGCUUUCGCUUGAUUGGGUAGUUAAUUGGAACGUGUGUGUGUCACGUGUGUCAAGUACUAAUGUGUAUGCUACGUUUCAGGACGUGGUGGCACCACCUCGACGUUCAACGAGGUCCGCUCCGGCAUUGCCUAGUGAGGUGCCCGAGCAAUCUAGAUAGGAUGAAGUGUGCGAGUUGCGAGCCCAAGUAGCAGCUUUGGUCGGGGCUAUGCAGCGGCAAAAGGAGCAGAUUGGAAGGCUCCACGACUUGGUGGCUCGACAGGCAGCUGUGGCUACACCUGUACCUCAGGACCCGCCCGCACCUGUAGCACCUACUCCUGCGGUGGCGGCGGCAUUGGUGACGGCUAUUCCUCCGAUGGCUUCGGGUUCUUCGGCUCUUGAUCCCGAUGCACUUGAGGCCGAGCAGGAGCAGUCGUUGGCAGUGUUGACGGCCUUUAAGCGGUUCAACCCUCCAACCUUCAACGGUGAUGACAAGGACCCUUGGGUCAUGGAGGCUUGGCUUACCGCUAUGGAGGCGUUAUUCGAGGAUAUCUACACCUUUGAGAGAGAUAAAGUUCACCUGGCGUCUCAUUGUUUUGAGGGGUCGGCUCAAUUGUGGUGGACACGGGUGAAGAAAGGCCGGUCAUUGGAGCUUUCACCCAUGACUUGGGAGGCGUUUCGGGAGCUACUAUUGAUGGAGUAUUUUCCCGAAAGUGACAAGCGGAAGAUCAAGGAGGACUUUCGCAAGUUAAGACAAGGGAACCGAUCGGUGCGGGAGUAUGAAAAGGAGUUCUCGCACAUGGUGAAUUGUGUGCCGGGCUUGGUUCGUGGUGAUCGGGACCGAGCGGAGGUUUUCGAGCGCGGGUUGCGACCCGAUAUUUUCAAGGUUAUUCAUGCAUUUCACUUGAAGACCUACGAGGAUGUGCUCCGCCCGUUAUGGGUGGAGCGCGGCAAUGCUAUUGCGCGAGAGGAGCGCGAUGCAUUUGAGAAGGACAAAGACAAAGAUAAGUCCAAGAAGCUGGCGGCUAGUGGAUCUGCGGGGCAGUCGAGUUCCAAGCGACCCCUCGGUAUCAGCGACCACUUUAGCGGCGAGCUAGGAGUCAGACACAAAGCCAGACGACUUCCUUCCCAUGUGUGAUUUGCGGUGGUGAUCACAAGGUAGCGGGCUAUCCUCAGCGUGAGGGGCUGUGUUUCAGAUGCGGCCAAGCAGGGCACUUGAGUCGGGAGUGUCCGGGUGGCGCAUCACUUGCUCCGUCAGCGGCUUCAGUUUAGUAUGCUCCGCGAUAGCUUGCGGGAUUGCCACCUGCUAUGUCGGCUGGAUGCGCGUGAGCACCGCGUCAGUCGGAGGGAUCUCGAGCACCGAGUGGACGGGUUUUUGCCACUCAGGUGGAGGAGCAGCCUGCCAUACCAGAUGAUGUCGUGGCAGGUAUUAUUUUGAUUAAUGGCACUAGAGGUAGAGCUUUAUUUAAUACAGGUGCAUCUUAUUCAUUUAUCGGUGCAUCGUUUGCUAAGACUCAUGGCAUGAAAGUAGUGUAUAACCCGGACUAUUGGUGGGUCAACACACCAGAGCAUUUAUUUAGUGUCCACGAGGAGUGCCUGGCUUGUCCGGUUCAGAUAGGCGAUUGGAUCAUGCCGGCAGAUUUGCUAGUGCUAAAUCAGAUGUGGGGCUUCGAUGUAAUUUUGGGGAUCGAUUAGCUCUCCAAGUACUAUGCCAGUAUCGAUUGUGAAAGCAAGGUGAUCACUUUUUAUGAGCCUAAUCAAGAGGAGUUGGUAUAUCGUGCGUGCAAAAGCUCGCACUUCACGGCGACCGUGUCGGCGGCGAGGGUGAGAAAGAUGAUUAAAGGUGGAUGUGUGGCUUAUUUUGCAACAAUGGUAGAGACUCAAAGGGAGCACUCAGAACUUGGGGAUAUCCGAGUAGCAUGUGAAUUUUCGGAUGUGUUUCCGGUGGAGUUACCGGGAUUGCCACCGGACCGGGAGAUCGAGUUCGUCAUUGACUUAAUUUCCGGGGCGAAGCCAAUUUCGAAGGCUCCGUAUAGAAUGGCACCGGCGGAGCUUAAAAAGUUGAAGGCUCAAUUACAAGACCUGCUCGAUAAAGGCUUUGUGAGGCCGAGUGUGUCGCCGUGGGAAGCCCCGAUGCUAUUUGUGAAGAAAAAGGACGCCACACUCCGACUCUGCGUGUAUUAUUGUGAGUUGAACAAAGUGACGGUCAAGAACAAGUACCUGUUGCCGAGGAAUGAUGAUUUGUUUGACUAGUUGCAAGGGUCGCGAGUAUAUUCGAAGAUUGAUCUUCAAUCAGGGUAUCAUCAAUUGAAGAUCCGGCCGAAGAAUGUGCACAAAACGGCGUAUCGUACGCGGUAUGGCCACUACGAGUUUACAGUAAUGCCGUUUGGGCUUACUAAUGCCCCGGCAACAUUUAUGGACUUGAUGAAUCGAGUCUUUCGAUCGUUGUUGGACCGGUGCGUCGUGGUAUUCAUUGACGACGUGUUGGUUUAUUCACGGAGCGAGGAGGAACACGAGGAACAUUUGAGGACCGUGUUGUAAAUACUUCGAAAAGAGAAGCUUUAUGCUAAGCUAAAGAAGUGCGAUUUUGGCUUUCGGAGGUUACCUUCUUAGGCCAUGUGAUAUCCGGGAGUGGCGUCUCGGUGAAUCCAAGGAAGGUUGAGGCAAUUAAAGAUUGGCCUCGCCCGACAAGUAUAGCGGAAGUCCGCAGUUUUCUUGGAUUAGCGGGCUACUAUCGGCGGUUUGUGGAGGGGUUUGCAAAGUUGACUACUCCCCUCACACGCCUUACGCACAAAGGGGUGAAAUUCGUGUGGAGUGACGAUUGUGACCGAAGCUUCCAAGAGCUAAAAGAGAGGUUGACAUCGACCCCGGUACUUGCUUUGCCGACGCCGGGGGAGAGCUUCGUGGUAUAUAGCGAUGCUUCCUACAGUGGUCUCGCAUGUGUUCUUAUGCAAAGUAGGCGAGUCAUUGCGUAUGCUUCGCGUCAAUUGAAGAGGUAUGAGAAGAACUACUCGACACACGACCUUAAGCUAGCCGCGGUCAUUUUCGCGCUAAAGUUGUGGAGGCAUUAUCUUUAUGGUGAGCAUUGCGAGGUGUAUACCGAUCACAAGAGCCUCAAGUACUUGUUCACCCAGAAAGAGUUGAAUAUGCGGCAGCAGCGGUGGUUGGAGUUAUUGAAGGAUUAUGAUAUUACUAUCCUAUACCACCCCGGGAAGGCCAAUGUGGUAGCCGAUACGCUAAGUAGAAAGUUUGUGGAGAACUUGGCGACGGCAGUUACUAGUCAACCGUUGUUGCAAAAAGAGAUGCAACGGUUUGGGUUGGAAGUAGUAGCGCCGGAGGUUCCGACCAUUUUGGCGGCGCUUGUGGUUCAACCGACCUUAUUGGAGAGAAUCAAGGAGCGGCAAGUUGAGGACCCAUAUCUCCAGAAGGUGCGGAGUGAUAUUGAGGGCGGACGCGCCGGUGACUUCAGCGUUGGAUCUGACGGUGCACUUCUGUUCAGAAACCGGUGGUGUGUGCCCAAGGAUGAUGAAAUCCGCAAGGCGGUAUUGCAAGAAGCACAACAUUCCCCGUACAGCAUACACCUGGGCAGCACUAAGAUGUACAAGGACUUGAAAGUGUUUUAUUGGUGGCCGGGCAUGAAAAGAGACAUUGGGGAGUUUGUUGUGCAGUGCUUGACGUGCCAACAAGUAAAGGCAGAAUACCAGUUUCCCGCGGGAAAGUUGCAAAGCUUACCUAUACCCGUGCGGAAGUGGGAGGACAUUUGAUGGACUUUGUGGUCGGUCUACCCCGAUCGCAAGCCGGACAUGACGCAAUAUCGGUGGUUGUGGACCGUUUGACAAAGUCAGCUCAUUUCUUGCCGAUCCACACCACGUGGUCCGGAGACAAGUUAGCACAAGUUUACUUGGAUGAGGUAGUGAGAUUGCAUGGGGUUCCAUCAUCGAUUGUGUCAGAUCGAGACUCCCGGUUCACUUUUUAUUUUUGGAAGAGCUUGCAAGAUGCUCUAGGUACGCGGCUGACUUCAGUACAACGUUUCAUCCUCAGAGUGAUGGUCAGUCGGAGAGGACAAUUCAGAUACUCGCGGAUAUGCUUCGGGCGUGUGUACUUGACUACAAAGGAGGGUGGCAUGAGUAUUUGCCAAUGGCGGAGUUCGCUUACAAUAACAGUUAUUAAGAGAGUAUAGCGAUGGCACCAUUCGAGGCACUCUAUAGAUGUAAGUGUCUCUCCCCUAUUCAUUGGAGCGAGGUGGGUGAAAGGGUCACCCUUGGUCCGGAUGUGGUGCGAGAGGCGAAGGAGAAAGUUCGCCUUGCUCGCCAAAGGUUGUUGACGGCACAAUCGCUGCAACGAAGCUACGCGAAUAAGCGCCGAAAGGAUUUAGAGUACACGGUUGGAGACCGUGUAUUUCUCAAAGUAUCGCCUAUGCGUGGGGUAAAGCGGUUCGAAAUUCGGGGGAAAGCUUAGUCCCCGAUACAUUGUACCGUAUGAGAUUCUGGAUCGGAUUGGACCGGUGGCGCACAAGUUAGCGUUACCGCCGAAGCUUGCGGGAGUGCACAACGUGUUCCAUGUAUCGAAUCUCCGCAAGUAUUUUCGUAACUCCUCACAUGUGUUUGUAAUACACUGAACUCUUGCAAAUUGCGGAGUUCGAGUGUGCGGCAUGAAGUGUGGAUCUAUCUUACAUGUUCUAAAUGGCUUGGACAAGUUUUUGGACAAGUUAGAGGGUGAGUGGAAGGCUAGAAGCAAGAAAAUGCAAUGCUCGGGCGAAAUCAACCUUUUUCUGCUUGCUGUACCGGUACAGCCAUUAGCUUGUACCGGUACAGCAAUGCAGAAACGUGGCAGCAUGGGCUUUUUGGUAAUUUCACCUUCUAAUCCCUAUCUAUAACCCCCAGCACGACUNCGAGGCUGGCGGCUUACCCACUGGGAACUAUUGUUAAUAGUUCUCAAGCCCUUUUUAUGGUUGUUUUUACAGAACCAUCUACAGGAGAGGCUAGGGAUCGUGGCAAGGGAGUCGCGUCUAGCUAGACUUUGCUAGGAGCGUGCUAGUCGAUCACCUUGCUACUCGGGCUACGGCCGAGGGUGAUGUCCUUUGUAUAGAGUGACUACCAUUGUACAGAUGUUUUUGUGUGCCCUGUAUUGUAUAUGAGUUGUAGAUCCAGAUGUUAUAGUUCAUACUUUCUCUCCUUCUGCUGGAAUUUUGGAUUGUAUACUCUUUGUUCUUUUACUGAUAAUAUAUCGACUUGUACAUUGCUCUGAUAUUGAAAUAGGAUCUCCUAUGAUUUCUCCUAUUGCCUUGCUUUGUUCUAUAGACGCCUUAUACACUGCAGGUGUAUGGCGGGUCUGUGCACGUACCGGAUAUGCUUCCGCUGGUACCCGGGCGUGACAGUGUUGGAGUAUGAGCCGGUUGCGCUACACGAGGAUGGCACUUAUGAAGAAUUUUCGGUGAGCAUUCUUGCUCGAGAGGAGCAGAAGCUACGGAAUCGGACUAUUCCAUAUGUGAAGGUCCAGUGGAGCAAUCACUCGAAGCGUGAAUCCACGUGGGAACUCGAGGAGAAGAUGCGCGAGACCUAUCCUCAUUUAUUCGAUCAAAUGAGCUAAGGUAUGUGUUAAGUUUCGCGGACAAAACUAUUUUUAAGGGAUGGGGAAUGUAACGUAUCGCACCCCCGUGAGUUGUGCCGAGUUCCGACGAAACGAGCGGAACGCGGAUUCGAACAAGUUAGAGUAGUCCGCAAAGUGUUUAAAACGCUUUGGAACGAGUUGCAUAGGAGUUGGAGGACCCAUGGGAGCAAGCUAGGAAAGUUUCAGCUUGAAACUCAAGAUUUUGCUCUCGGGGUGCAGGGUCCGGACCCCAUAAGCAAAAAUUGCCUAGUUCGGGCAGUGCACAGUUUGCAUUGUUUGGGGUGUUAGGUGCAAUUGUGUUAUGAGAGGGCUGUAUAGAAGUGAGGGGCUUAUGUUUAGGGCUCAUUUCUCUCAACCCAACCUAAUGUUAGGGCUCCCUCUCUCUCUCUAAAACCCUUCUCUCUCUCUAGAGCUUGAGCAAGAGGGACUUUUGGAGGGGCUUUGGUGGAGAAGAAGACCGGACAAGGGUGUUGCUUGCAAUUGUGCAAGAGCUUGGAGGAAAGCUUGAACCUAAAGGUUCGUUUUCAUGUUUCUAAGCUAGGUUUUGGUUUAAUUCCUUCUAGCAUGAGUUCUAGGAGUUGUAGUGGUAGAUUUCUCCAUUUCCUUCAUGUUAGGAACUUGAUUGGAGAAGAUGAUGUUGUGUAGGGACCUAAUGUUAGGGUUUUGUUAAUAUGAGGUCUAAGCUUGGGAUUGAUCUCUUACUACCCUAAUUGUUAGGUUGACGAACGCGUUGGCGAGCUCGGUUCGGCGAUCCGACGAGCGUACGCGGAGAUAUUAGCGAAAAAGCCUGUUUUGGCUUCGUUUUGCCGCAGCACGCGGCGUAGGUGUCCAAAAAUCACGAGAGUCGAACGGUAGCAUCUUAGCAUUCCUACAAGGUAGGGGGUGCUUUCCGGAAUCUCUGAAUUCCCCUCUAUGUCUAUGUUGCCUUUUUAUUGAGCAUAUGUGAAUAGUGCCAUUCAUGCAUGAUAGGGUAGUUGACAUGUGGUUAUUGGUUUAGAUUCAAUUGUAUACUUCUAAUGUAGAUGAACAUAGUAAUUGACAUAGAACCAUAUGAGACGUGUAUGUUGGAACCCUAUGCUUGUGUGAAUGUGAGAUAUAGACUAUGAUAAUAGUGAACAAAGGUGACAUUGAUAUUAGCAACGAGAUUGGCACUGAGAGAUGAAUUGCUAAACAAGGUUAAGCCAAUUGUGGCAUUAUGGCAAGUGUGGCCUAGAGAGUGGUAUAUAUGACAAGGUAGAAACCUAUCAUUGCAUUGUGGCAUCGUGGCUUGUGGCAAAGUAGCAAAUGUGGCUAUGCGUCCUCAAAUUGAAGAUUGAAUCGUACUCACAUUAAGUCUAGGCUUGAGGGAGGUAGCUCCCCCUCAAGCGGUGCGUUUCGGAAUUGACACCAUGGGGAGAGCGAUCCCCGAAGAAGGUCCCUCGGGCGUGGUAAAGUCCCCCCGAAUGAUAGGGAUUUUGGGUUGUGAGUUUGGGGUUAACAAGUGUUAACCGGUUUGAUUGGAUAAAAGCCAAAGAGAAAGAAAGCAUGCAUGCAUAUUUAUCAUAAAUAUGAUUAUCUAUCUGUUGAUCAAUUUCUUGCAGGCAUAGUAUUAGCAUUAGUGUGGUUUGCUAUAUCUACUUUCUUUCAUACUUAUGCCUGAAUAGACCUAGUGAGCAAAUCGGCGAGGUCGGCGGCCGAACCCACUGGGAACUUCGUUGUAGUUCUCACACCACUAACCCUACAGAUCCGAGCGCGAGCGGGGCGGUGGAGGAUCGAGGCAAGGGUUUAGCGCCGUAGUUAGUGGCUACCGAAGUAUAGUCAUUUCCUUUGUACAUUCAACUUUUGUAUGUUGAAAAGAGAUGUAUAAAUCUUUAUGUUUGGGUUGGAUGAAUGUAAAUGAUGUAAAUGUAUGGAAAUGAAUGGAUGUAAAUGUGGUUACUUGUAUUUGGUUAAAAGGUAAUCAAAUGACAUGUAUGUGGUUGUACGUUUAGUGUAGCAGCUUAGAGCUUUCACUACUUGUCGUUGUUGCUUGCCCUCGAGCAAGCCGUGUAUGAUUGCAUUCACCCUAUGUUGAAUUGCUUUGAUUGUACAUGUGUUGGAGCCUUGGGCGGACAGGGGAGGUGCUGUCCGUUCGGCGUCUGUUGACGUGCCCGAACUGACCAAAUUGGCGAUAGCGGGGCGUGACACCUUAACUUACAUGCUUAGUUAUUUCACAUAUCAGUUGUUCUAUCUAUCUUUCCUAGCUAUCUUUCCUAGCUUAUUGCUUAUGAUUUAUCAUAUUUACUUCUUGUCCUUGGAUGAUGUAUGAUAUGUACAGUAGGAUUGGUUAUAGUUGCUUAUCUACAUGACUAUAAUAUAACUUGGCAGGUGAUUAGUCAUUAGUUAAGAUUUGACCUUAUUGGUUGGUGGAUAUAUCCUUAUGGAAUUGACCUUGUUGGUCGACAGAUUUACUCCUUGACUUUGUAUGUUGCUUGACUCUCUUAUACACUUUAACCUCGUUGGUUUAUAGAUUUGCUUCAUGAGAUUCGACCUAGUUAGUCAGUGGUUACUCCAUAUGUAGUGCACUGAACUUUUGAAAAUAAUUAUGUUCUAGUAAGAAUAGUAUUUUGAUACUAUUUAAAAGAUAUUGGUGGAGUUUGAGAUGUGUUGGAAUGGUUCUGGUGCAAAAACAACACAAAAAUGAAAUUCUGGUGUCAAAUUAUGCUUAGUAGCAAUUUCGAUGUACGUAUCGGUACUGAAGUUUAGGGUAUCAGUAUUGAAGUUUGAGUUCAGCUGAGGAAGCCUUCGAGUUUUGCAAAACUCUUGAGUAGUAUUGAUACCGAGGGUUGCGUACUAGUACCUGUAAAGAGUACUAUUGGAACUCUCGAGCGAGAAAACCUGCGAACACUCUCGGGUUUGCAUAACUUCCACAGGGUACCAAUAUUUAGGGGUUACUACAAGUAUUGGCCGUGGUGUACUGGAACCUGGUAGUGAAUUUGGCUGGGAAAUAAUUUAGGUUUUGAAGAACCUAGUUUGUGGUAACGAUAGUAGGUAGGAUACUGGUAUUGAAAUGCGACUACUAGUACUAACUUGUACGUAGGCUAAAAUUGUCAGUGGGACUUUCUCCCUUUGUGAAAUUGGCUAACAUCAUGGAGUAGCUUUUCGUUGACCUAUUCAUUAAGGAGCAAGGGAAAAAGUCUCGCUGGCCAUGCACUCACUUUCUAGAAGGAUCGGCGUUGCUCGCGUAGGGGCGGGAGGUGAUAAAAGGAGCAAAGGACAAGAAGUGUUCCCACUCUGGGAAUGGAGGUGCGUUGUCAAACAACAAGAUAUCUAUAAUGCCCCGAUUCCAGAGCAGAAGCCCACUGAGAUGUCAACAGACCGGCCGAACAGACAGAGUUUUCCCUAUCCGAACGAAGCGUCAACAAAGCAGAAUAGUAGCAAAGCAAGGCUAAACACAGAAUCAGCCCAAAAACUAUUUCUAGAAGCUACAACUAGCAUUUAUGUAUCAGAGCACCAUAAACAACAAUAAAACUACCCUCGUGGCCUAAGUUAACUUAUACAAAAUAACUCACUAGAAAGCGAUAACCUGAAUCAAUAUUAUUCUAACAUGCCUGUAUAGAAGUAAAGCGCGGUACUGAAGAUAUCUAAUAUAUGCAUCAACUUUAAAAGCGGUGCACCACACAAAGUAUGCAUCAUCUAGAAUACUAAUGAUAACUGCAAGAUAUUACUCACUCAUAUGCAUGCGACCCAAUCAACACACUGUGUUCUAAUCGUAAACUGACUAACUCGUAGGUCUCAUAUGUGAUGAACAAGAGACAAAGUGACUAAAGUAUGCAUCAAUACUAAUACUCAUAAAUAAAUAUAGUAAGAGCACCCAAUCGUAGCGACCGGCCGACUUAGAGGUUCGGUCAAGCCUGCGCCCGCCUAGUGCCCGAAAUCGCACUCCCGCAGGUGCACCGUUGACAUCUAGGCUCUGUCCCUAGCGCAAACACCACUCCCGCAGGUGGGUCGUCUUCCUAAGGGCACACAUCUCUCUGCUAUAACUGGCCAGCGUUCGGAGCGACACUCGAAGGGGAGCGACCCUAUCGAGUCUAAUAGCGAGUAUCUCAGUCAAACUCAAUAUGGCUCUGUAGGCUAUGAUCUAUACAAUGAUCAAAAGAAUCACAAGAACCAAUCUGAUGCCCUCAGCACAAUUAAAGAGUGUCAACUAAUGCAUAUAUCACAAUAGCACAAUCAUAUACUUCUCAAUGUCUAAAACCUCUCUACUACCACCGUGCUAACCCACAAUAUCCAUCACAUGUAUCAUAGCUUGAACAAUGCAAUAAUCAGUGUAUGUCAUAUAAUUCUAUGCUCGUAAUGUCCAAACAGUCUAUUGUAAUAUAUGCAAUGUAAACAGUAGUAGGGACCAAACACUAUAGGCGGCGCAAUGUAUUACUCACAUAAUCUAUAAUCUACACGUGAUAUAUGUUGUACUGUUAUCAUAACCUGCGGUAGUAUUUCAUACUAUUUUUCUUUACGCUUGCUUCUAUAUUAAAAAAAUUCGGUAUACAAUAUUUGUCACGCCCCAAGUUUCAACUCAACCCUGGUUCGCCAACCCGCAUACACAAGAUGCUCUAUGUACAUAAAGCGAUAGUAGUACCUAUAAAGCAUACAAGAGUAACUACAAUCAAGUAAUAGAGCUGGAAAGAAACUGCUAAAACUAAAACGUAAUCCUAUACAUUCAUAGAUCCAAAGAGUACAUAAACACCUCACAAAACUCUGAAAUAUAAAAUAUCCAUCUGUAUGUACAAUGACCAAACACCAAAAGCUAUCUCCAAAAAGAGUACUCCGCUAGCUCUGUAACCAAGGUAGGUAGGGAUUUAACUCACGACUCCUUUAUCUCGAUCAAUGACAGCGAUAGGAAUUGAGGGCUCUGCAAGAAAAAGGAGUAACAAUGCGCGUGAUAACUACUAUAAACAAUUAGUCCUCAGUGGAUAUCGUCACCGACGCUAAUGGCCUACCCACUAAGUGUACAAAAUUGAAAGAAAAGCUGGGUUAAUAAAGGAGAAAAAGUAGUAAAGUUGGAAAGAAAUUUACAGCUACCAUGCCACUACACUACUAAUGCUCAAGUCACACUAUCACUAAAGUGCAUGCAUCAGCUUUUAUCGAACAGACAAAAACUACUCAAGCCAAAGGGACCUCCAUAAGGCAGGUCCAGCCUGUGCCAACCUACUGCUACGCACUACCCUCAGGGGUGGCCGAACUAAAUAGGACGCCCAAAAAGGUUGCUGCGACAUUAACGCACCAAAGGCCAAGCUCCGGGGCGGCACUCGAGGGGUGCCAACCCACCGAAAAAAAUGUGUACUUUGUCGGGCUCAAAUUUGGCUCAUACAGGCUGUAGUCAAUAUAAAUAAUCAAUCAGAUCAGUAAACAGAAGCUCCCAUGCUAUCGGCACAAUCUGAUACAAAAAAUCUAAGAUUUGGGACCAUCGUCAGUCUGGAUGGCACCCGACUAUGCAAAUCAGUAAACUCUACUGUAAAAAUUCACUCGGCAUCUCAGCACAAUCGUAAAUCCAACCUACACUAAUCUGUGCACUCGCAACUCACUAAUAGGGGCGAGAAAGCAGUAAAAACAGUUAACCUAGUUAAUUCCUAAUGAUGGCAAUUAACAUGUUUAGAGUGUAGGUUUUCUCUUAAGUCAAGUCCCAAUUUAGCAAUAAUUAAUCUUUUAAAAACAGGUUUGACAUGCUCCAAAUUCAAAUUUCAUAACUAUAUAUGCAAAUCUAAAAUUUGAGCUAAACAAUCAUGAUGAACAAAACAAUUGCAUGCCGAAAUUACUAAUAGACUUCAGAGGAAUUUCAUUGAAUUCGGUAAACAUCAAUCCACCUAGAGCGCUAAUCCGACUACGGAUCAAACUGGAACUACACAAGCACCUUCUCCUAACUCCAAUUAAUAGGGAAGUGAAGGAAAAAUCCACGAAUCCCUGUCGGACUUAACCGAAUUAAAAGCCGAAUAAGGAUUCUAGUGAAAAGCUUUUCAAAGAGGGUGAUAUGGUUCUCACUAUAUCUCGUUUGAAAGAUGAAUUGCAGCAAUGGGAUUGGACCAUAUAUUUCGACUUCGGAAUCGAAUUUACUUAACCAUGAGUCAAUGCACCUUAAAGUUUACCUGGGGGUAACUUCAAUUCAGCUAACAUUUAGGUGCGGAUCAGCUGGAAUCCCCUAAAUAGCUCGCACAAGAAAGUUGGAGUCAAAACACCCAAAAGAAGUAGCUCAAACAUCCAAUUUCAGCAUUGAAUCAAAAUUACCUUAAUUGGAGCUCAACUCCUUGCAGUUCAGCUGAGUAACUUGCGCCACCAACUUCUCCUAACCAGAUGGUUCACGAGCAUGCCCUAAUGUUGCAGUUGGAAGUAUCAAAAUCCAUUAAUUUCCUUCUCAAAGCCAAGUGCCAUUGCUGAAUUGCGCAUGCUGCUGCUGUUGAAACUGCAACUUGUUGCUGCUGUUGAAACUGCAAUUUCCUUGACCCACAAAGAGAACCAGUGCAAAAAGAGGGUAUAGGGCAAUACAAGAUUGAUCUAAAGUACCUAUGCCAUAGGAUAAGUUCAAUAAUUACCCUUAAAUUCUAUCAUAAAGGUCAAAUAGAGCUCAAGAAUUCAGCUUCAUCAUAAAAACUAUUUUUUUGGUUGAAAACUUCAAUGAAAACUGAAAUUCAGGAAAAACUAGACAUCAAAUCAAUCCAAACAAAGUUCUCACCAACUCUAGAUGAAGAUAAGAUCACUCCUAACCUUUCAAAAGCUCAGCUACAUAGGUAUAUUAAAAGAAAUUCAAUCAAGAAUUCAGCUUGUUCAAAAUCAGCAUAAAACUUCAAUUUCAGCGACCUUCACCUUUUCAGCAAUUAAACACGACUUACCUGGUCAUUUUCUGAAUUAAAACACUCCUCAUGUUCACCUCUUCUCCGAGAAUACGAACAAUCAAUUCCCCAGCAAUUUGGAUUUCGAAAUCUCUCAAAAUUCCAUCUUGAACUCAGCUGCAGGCUGCUGAAAUUCUGCUGCUGCAGAAUGUUAAGGUUGAUGUUGAUGUUGCCGCAGCUCCUAGGACUCGCAGGAAGGAGUACAGCUCAAGGAGAAAAGGAGAACGUAACCAAGGUGAUCCUCGGCUCCAAAACACUGAAAACCUCCAAUUUAAACUGAAAAAUCACCGCAUAAUAGGUUGGAAUUGGAUUAAGAACAAAUAAAAUCAGCAUAUAGCCAUUUCGGUUGGACUGGAUCAAAACCCAAAAUUUCCUCAAUAUUAACCCUCCAAAUAAACUCAAACGACUUCCCCACCAUCUCUGGAUGAAGAUAAGCUCACUCCCAACCUUCCACAAGUUCAGGUAAAAAGCAAAAACCAAAGGAAAUCCAUCAAAACUCAAGGACAUGCAAAAAUUCCACAGGUUCUCAUUUCGGUUUGUAAAGCUCAAUGCAAAUAGAAAUUCACACCAUACCAAUCAUUAAUUCAACUCAAUUAAACUCCCCUCCUGUUCUACGUGAAGAUGCUCUUGUCCCCAACUUCUCAAAAGAUCAUGUAGCAAGGUAGAUUAAAAGAAACUAAAUCAAAACUCAGCUCAACCAAACAAAUCAGCAUAAGCUCCAAUUUUAGCAACCUUCACUAAUUCAGCAAUUAAAUCCAAUAGACCAGAAAAUUUGCUGAAGUAGAUCACUUCUCAAGUUCUCUUCAAAUUCUACCUGUGCAUGAACUCUUCCAACAUCCCAAAGCCUCGAAAUCCCCUCAAAUACCAAGAAGAAAGAUGCUUGACUAUGCUGUCAGGCUGCUGUUGCUUGCUUAAAUUUGCUGCAGCUUGUUGGCUGCUAGUGCUGAGAUGCCCAACCAGCAGAGAUGAAGAGGGAAUAGGAGGAGUUCGUGAUGAAGGGUUUGCUGAUAUUCCUUGCUCCAGCUUGCAGUGAAGAAGGGGAAGAAGAAGAAGAAGUCCACUGGUGCUGCAACUAGAGUUCCUUACUGCCGCUGCUAGUGGACUGCUGUUGCUAGUUUGGUAUCCUGUGCAGGGAGAGUAGGCAGCGAGAAUGGAGAGGAGCAAGAGAAGAGCAAAAGUAGAAGUUUUAGAAGAGGGAGGAGGAGUCCACUUUCAGUUUGCUACAGGAAAAAGACUCCAAUUAGCUAGGUUGGUGGGGAAAAAUAAGUUGAGCCUUGGCUCAACAACAAGCAACUAAACUUGAUCCAGCAGGAAUUUAAUUCCAAUUCAGGAAUAUUUGUGACAUCAAUUUCAUGUCCAAAUCAAUUCCAAUUCAUUCUGACACUAUCUAGAAGUGUCAAGUAAUUCAAUAACUGUAAUUGUUUCGACAAAACAUACCUUAAAUUUUUCGGAACACUACAAGACAACCUAAGCACCCUCGAUCCCAGGGCAGGGCUAGGAGCACAUCGACUGGCGGCCAAUAACAGAGGAAGCCUCGCUGCGUGAUUUGCAGUAAGGCACAUUGGGUGUCUGCCUGCUCUCGGCGAGCGGGUGGAUGGUAUGAAUGCGGGCAAGAGGGGCACAUUCGAGCCAACUAUCCCAAGAUUGACCCUAGCAAUGAUUGUUACUUCUGUCCCCUCCACUCCUCGCCAGAACUAGGGAAGUGCAUCGGCAGUUGCUUUAUCUGGGUGCCCUUGUACUUCUAAAUAGCCUAAGAGAGUAUGCUAGGCUUCUGGAGGUCGGGUCUAUGUGAUGACCCAACAAGCAGAUCCACUAGAGGAGAAUUUGGCAGGUAGCACAACUGUUUACGAUUUUCAGGCUAAAAUAUUAUUCAACACUAGAACGGCUCAUUCUUUCCUUCUUUCCUUGCUGAGGACUUUUUGAUUACCCAUGGGAUUGCGGUUUAGUUUAUAGACUCUAAAUGUUUGGUUGGUGUGCCUGGUUACCAGGUGCUAGUGGUUGAGGAGUGUCAAUCUUGGUUGAUUUUGUUGGGUGAGAAGUUUCCUAUAGACAUAAUGGUCAUUUGGUUGAAGCAGUGCGACAUCAUACUUAGGAUGAAUUGCCUCACAAGUAUUAGCUACGAUCUAUUGUUUAUAUCGGACUUUGAUCCUAGCACCACCUGGGGAGGUGGAAGUUGUUUAUUUGGGAUACGAGAGAGAGGUGUUCCUAAGGAUGAGUUUAGAAUCCUAAGUAGAGCCAACCGUAAAUAGGUGUGUAGCUUAUCUGGUCAUGGUCUUUGACACCCGCAUUGAGGCACUUUCUCGGAGGAGAUUUUGAUGGCUCAAAAGUUUUCCAACACUCCCUGUUGAGUCGCCGGGGAUGCCUUUGGAUCGAGAGAUUGAGUUCGCAGUAGACUUGGCUCCUGGUACCACACCUAUCUCAAAGGCGCUUUACUGAAUGGCAUUUGCUGGGCUUCUUUAGGCCUAGCAUGUUCUGUGGGCCACAUUGGUUCUUUCUUGAAGAAGAAAGAUGGUUAUUUACAGCUCUGCAUCAACUGCUGGGAACUAAACAAGGUCAGGAUAAAGAAGAGGUACCCUUUUCCGCGGAUCGAUGAUCUCUUUGAUCAACUUCAGCGGUUGCUAGCGUACUCCAAGAUCGAUACACAAUUGGGGUACCAUAAAUGCUGCUAGAGCAUUAGUCAAUCCAAAAGGCAUCACUGUGAACUCAUAAUGCCUAUACCGUGUCCUGAAAGCCAUCUUGGGAAUAUCCUCAGCCUUCACGUUUAAUUGGUGGUAACCUGAUUGCAGAUCAAUCUUUGAGAAAACACAAAAUCCUUAUAACUGAUCGAAUAGAUCGUCGAUGCGUGGCAAAGGAUACUUGUUCUUAAUGGUCACUUUAUUCAACUCCCGAUAAUCAAUAAAAAGCCUAAGUGAACCAUCAUUCUUCUUCACAAAUAACACCGGCGCUUUCCGAGGCAACACACUCGGUCUCACAAAACCUUUCUUCAUCAAAUCCUGAAGUUGCGCCUUUAACUCUCGCAGCUCAAUCGAAGCCAUUCUCUAAGGUGCCUUCGAGAUCAGUGCAAUUCUAAGAACUACGUCAAUUACAAAAUCUCCCUAUCUGGUGACAUGCUCAACAGCUCAGGGGGAAACACAUUCGGGAACUAGUGGACUAUAGGGAUAUCCUUGAUUCCUAGUGCCGCCGUAGGCACCUCUACUACCCUCGCCAAGAAGGCCACGCAUCCUCUACUUAUCCUCUACCUCGCUCUGUCGAGAUCAUCGUAGCGAAAAGAGUACUCUAACAACCUCGAUACACAAACUCGUCCUGUGCUGGCUCGCGGAAGGUUACCGUCCUCGCCAUGCAAUUAAUCGUCGUGAUGUACCUCGCCAGCCAAUCCAUCCCGAGCACCACAUUAAAAUCCUGUAGCUGCCGUAAGACUAACAUGUCUGCCGGCAUGAUUCAAGGUCCUAGCUACACUGAACAAGAACAACAGCACUCCUUCACGUGCAGAACAUGAUCAAGAAUCUGCACCUCACGUGCACGUGGCAACGGCCAUAUCUCUAGUCCAUAUAGUAAUGUGAAUGCUCUACUAAUGAAUGAAUGUGAUGCACCGGUAUUAAAUAAUGCAUGCACUCUAAUACCAGGUAAUAAAAUGAUACCUACCACCACAUGAUCGACUGUAGAAGAGUCCUCAACCUGUGCGGCAUAGACCUGACUGCUCUGGUUCUGCUAUCUCCUGUCUGAAGUGCAGGAAGGCAGAGCCUGGUUGGUCUGUGAAUACGUCGGUGGUGCUCUUGUCCUCUACUGCGGUGAAGGAGGGGCUGAUGCCAAUAAUGGUGCUGAUGAAGCCGUAAGGGGACACGACGCCCGCAUGUGCCUUGACUGUCCACAUCAGUAACAGCGCCCCCUCUACUGGUCACAGGUGUAGGGAGGAUGCUGCCCUCUACAGAAAAUGCACCAAUCAGACUGUGACUGCCUUUGCUACUGCCUAUGAGAUCCACCAGACCUCUGUCGCCCUGAACAACCAUGACCCUGGGAGUGAGAUCGCGACGGUCGGUCUUCUCUCACUGGUCUGUCAUCCCUCCUCCGGCACUGGCCGCUUCUUUUCUGAACUUUGCCCUGAUACUAGAACUCCCUCUUUUAGCAUCGUAGCGCCCCGUUCUACCCACAGAGCCUGCUCAGUAGCCGGAUCCAGGGUCUGCAACCUCUGCCACUGAACCAAAGUAUAAAUCUCCGGACGUAGCCCUCUCUCGAACAGAUACACCCUGUGCAGCUCGUCCUUCGCAACGAAUGGCACGCAGUUAAGCAACCGUGUGAACUCCCUGAGGUACUUCUGCACUGAUCUGUCUCCCUGCUGUGAAUUCUUUAGAUCUUCUUCGAGUUUUUGUUUUAUGUUGUUCAGGAAAUAGGUCCCAAACAGUAAUCCAUGAAACUCAUCCCAAGAUAUUUGUCGGGUGCCUCGAAGUCCACUGGGUCUAGUCCUCCGCCACCAUGCAUCCGCAUCUCCCUCCAAACAAUGCACUACCAUGUGUACUUUUUCUCUCUCUGGGAUGAAGAUGUCCUGAAAUAGCUUAUCCAUGGCUGCCACCCAAGCCUCCACUUCCCAAGGGUGAGUAUCAUGGCCAGCAAAUCGAGGUGGAUCAAAUCUUCGAAAACGGGCCAACCGCUCGAUAAUUCACUCCUGCUCCGCCUUUGUCAAUGGCUCAUCCCCCCUGGGUACCUCUCUACUAUGCGACAGCGCUGUCAGUGUUGUGAUCGUCGGAGGUGCAGAGGCUGCGAGAAUCUCUGCUGUUGUAGUCGGUUGUGGCAACUAAGGUUCUCUAGCUUGCGGUGCUGUACUAAACUGCCGUGUCAACACCUCACACAACCUCUGUAAUAGUGCACCUUGCUGCUUAGUAACCUCUGUCAAGGCAGCCAACUGCUCCCGAAGAUCGAGUGGUGCACUUCGUCCUGCUUGCUCCAGCUCUAUGGGUGGCGCUGGUGUGGCCUGUGUCGGUGGUCGAUCUCUGCGCGUCAUUCUGAUCACCUACAAUAGCACAAUAUAAGUCACACAUAGUAACUUAGCACUCGACCCAAUCCAGCGAGAGUCCAAAACAUCUCUUCACCUCUGUGUAAUUAUGUCGUCUGCAACCAACAUAAUUAUCCAAUAGUGGUAGACAUGCCGAUCACUUUUGCAUUCCUUUUAAAGAGUUUAUACAAUUCAAUCAUUGACCUUCUCUAAAAGUCAUGACUCUUACGUCUUACUUUCCUAAGGUCUGCCAAAGGUCUAAGGUUUUCUAAGUCCCAUCGACCUAUCCCUAUACUAUGAUACCAACUUAAUUUGUCACGCCUCGGGUUAUAACAGAACCCGGGCUCGUUAACAAAUCCGCUGCGUACACGGGAAGCCCCGUGCCCACGAAGCGCUAGUACCUGCUCCAAGUAUAAUAAAGCCAUACAGAAGAGCCAAAUAGAGCUAAAGUAUAAAAUUAGCUAAACACUGAACUGUACAAAAACAUCAUCCGGAUACAAGAUCCAAUACUUAGAUAUAAAAAUAAAUACAACCGAUUGGCAAAAGCCAAACCCAAAAUUUACAGCAGUCUAGAAAAAAUAAUAUCCGGGUCCAGUAGUCCUAAGCGAGUACGUCAUCGACAAUUACAACCCACCCAGGUCUACCAGAGGCAUAAAGGGUAAAGUGGUAAAGAACAGAUAAGAACUGCUGAAAGGAAAAUUACCACUACUAUAUAUGCCUCCACACUAGUAUAGAACGAGUAAGUGUAAAAGGAAAGCAAUGCAUCAACUCUAAAAAUCUGCCUAGAAUAAUCCAAUCAACCGACUGGCUCGAAAGAGCAGUUCCGCCUGCACUAGCAUCACAUCUGAUCUCACUAACAACCUGUGGAUCGCCGACGUAGAACAUACCCAAAAGUAAUCAAGCCGCCUAUGUAACAUACCGGAUUUUAAAUAUAAAAGAGAAAAAUAAAUAAAAAUAGUAUGAGAUACUAUUUUAUUGGAUUUAGAGAAGUGAAAUAUUGGUUGGGAACGACCUGUGCUGAAAUCGGAGCGAAAACAGAAGAUUUAGAAUUUUCUGUUGGAAGCGGGACUAAUAAAUUAGCAGAAAAUGUACAGUCUCAGAAAAUUAUGAAAAUUAGCGGAGAUGUCAGAAAUAUUUUUAUGAGGCUAGAUUUAAAGUUUUAUAUUUUUCUGACACCCGUAGAGUGAGAAAUAAAAUCCGAAAACUAUCUGAUAAAGAUUGCAGUUCGGCACAAUUUUUGGCGACCAAACGGGGUCGAAACUGAAAUAUUAAAAUUUUUUUGGACUUAUUAAGUAAAACCGAGCAUGCCUGUCAAAUUUGAGUUCAAACGGACGUUCAGAAGGGCUCCGGCGAAAAAUAAACUGCUCGAAGUGAAUAGUGCGUAGUUGAGGGGCAAAAUGGUAAAAAGGGUUUAAAACCCCUUUUCUUCUUCUCCUCCCAACCGUGGCUGGCCCAAGCCGACACACCACACCACGCAUACACAAGAACACACACGCAUGGAAAGGAAAGGAGAGAAAUCUCUUUCUCUCCUAAAUCUCUCCAAAAAGAAUGGAUUUGGUGAGAUUGAAGUUGAGGUGGAUCGUCUUCGUCUUCUUCAUCUUCUCCAUGGUUUGAGCUCAUUUUGAGGUGAGCUUCUUGAGCCCUUUAAUGGUAGAUCUUUAAUGGCUUGGUUUAAAUACCUUAUAAAUGAAUUUAGAGGAGUCCUAGCAUGCUAUCUAGAUGAUUAAUGCUUGAAUCAUGGAUCAAUUUAGUGAUUUUUGCAUCAGUUGUACGCUAGGACUCCAAAAUGCAACUUUUAAAAUAUGAGGGUUUGAUCUCAUUUGACCCUUCGUAAACCUAAUUGUAGGUAACGAAACGCGUUGGCGAAGACGGUUCGGCAAUCCGACGAGCCGUUACAAAGUUAUUAAAGAAAUAGACGUUUAGCGCUUCGGUCCGCCGAGAGGCCGAGGCGACGUCGUAAAAUCAUGGAAAUGGAUUUGAGCAUCGUGGCACAUAACCGAAGACCUAUAAUUUUCGGGGCGCAAGCGGAGCGGCUUGAGGCGCAGUUGCCAGUAUCGGCCGUGCCGGAUUACGGGUGCCGCGGAAGGCCGAUUGCAAGUGUCGACAAGCAAUCGGAACGCGAAUUAAGGUGGGUUGGUUUACCUGAAGGACACUAGGUCGCCUUUAUGUCUAAGAAACUAGAAUCCAUGUUGAUGCCAUAUAAAUGUAAAUGAAGCAUGUAAUGAAUGCAUUUAGCUAAAUAAAUGCAUGUGAUUAGUAUGAUGUAAAUGCUAAAAUAGAAUCAUUAUGAGCAAGUUACAUAAUGCUAAAUAUGUAAUGUAGAAAUGCUAAAUGCAUUGUUAUGAGCAAGUUACAUAAUGCUAAAUAAUGUAAUAUUAGAAAUGCUAAAUGCAUAAUGAGCAAGUUAUAUGAUGCAUGCUUAUAGUAUGAUGUAAAUGCUAAGUAGAUGCAUAUAAAUGAUAUAUGAGAUUAUAAACGCAUGAUUAGCAUUAAUGAGAUCAUAGAUGCAUGCUUAGCAUUGUGAGAUUAUAUAUGCAUAUGAACUUGGUAGAUAACUCUAGUUGAUAGAGAGAUAACAUUGGAAAUGAGAAUUGAUAACUCUAGAAUGAGUAUAAUGCUUAAUUGGACAAUUAGUAUGUGAAUUAGAUGCAGUGUCAUCUAACUUAGAGUUAAGGAACAUAGGUCGUGAGUAGACCUAGAAUCAAAUAGAUCGAGUGGCAUCUAACCUAGUGUUAAUAAACUAGGUCGUGAAAUGAAAAGUACUUAACCUAGAGUCAAGUGAAUCUAGGUCGGAAAGAAUAAUGAUCCUAGUGUAAUAAACGUAGUUAAGAAUGUGAAAGCAAUAACCUAAUGGGUGAACUAGGUUGAGAAAGGCUUAGACCUAGGAGGUCAGUUCCAUAGGUUAAGACCAACCCCUAUGUGAUGUGAAAUGGAUUCCGGAAUCCAAGGCUAAAAGGAUACACCAAAGUGUGUCGGGUGUGUGCGACGAUUUCGCCGCCCAACGGGCUAAUGAACCAUUGUCGUGGCGUGUGCGACGAUUUCGCCGCCGGAUGGUUAGCCAGUUUGUGGAUCCUACGCCUGUUGACUAAAUCACUGUCGUGGCGUUGUGCGACGAUUUCGCGCCGGGUGGCUAAGUCAUGGAUCUAGGCCGUUGUUGGUGAGGUGCGAUUCGUUCGCCGCCAGACGGCUAGGACAGGAGUACGGUGAGCUGUUGCCAGCUGAGGUGCAUGUGAGCGUUCCUCACCUCGAACUAGACAGUGCGCGGACUAUCCGCGAUUGAUUGAUCAAGACCGAGUCGGGUGGCAUAGAGAACUAAGGUAAGAGAAACUUAGGAAAGAAUGGCCAGUAGAAAAGUGCGGACAAAGUGUAAGAAUAAAGAUAAGUAAAAAUAAAGAUCCGCUAAGGAAUAAGAAUAGCUGAUAAGUAAAGAAAGGUUACAAGUAAAGAAUAGCUAAGAGCUAUAAAGUAAACAUUAAAUGCAAUAGUAAAGAAUGAUUAGAAAUAGUAGCGUUAAAAGUAACCUACUUGCAUGAUUACAGGAAUUGCAUAUUGCAUUUCGUGAGGCAUGACAUGUAUUUCAAUUGAAUAUAUAUCUGUUGUAUAUUGUUGAACUAACAUGUUGGCAGUUGCCUCUUAGACCAUGUUGGUUGAGCUGGUUCCUUGGUUGGUUAAACCCACUGAGGACUAUGAACAAUAGUCUCACCCCCGGUGUUGCUGUUCUUUGGGUACAGGGUUACACACGUGUGCAGCGCCGGGGUCACAAGGCGGAGGCGUUAGUUCUGGGGCAGAUAGCGCCCUACCAUAGAACGAGACCAGAUCUAGCAUCACCCCGUCUAUAUACUUAGGGGUAUAAGAAAAUGAAAAGAAUACAAUGUAUCAAAUCUGUAGUAGUAAAAUGUUGUAAAUAACUUAGAUUGCUUUGGGAUGAACAAGGAAUCGGAUUGAUGAUGUAAAAACUAUGAAAGUGAAUGAAUGUAAUAACUUAAGGAUGUUUAUAUUGUAUGUAUACCUUCACUUGCAAUCUGAUUGAUAUCAUGUUCCUGGUUGGACCUUCGUGAAUUGUAUUGAUUGCGAUGCCUUGGAAUGUACCAGGGGAGGACUCUGUCCGUAGUACAGGGGAAACCCUGUCAUAUUCGCGAUGUCGGCGGGCCGGACCUCGGCCAAAUAGGCGUGGUGCGUCGCGGGUUGACAGUUGUGGUAUCAGAGAUAAAGUAGAGAAUGGGAAUGGCUCUUAACUGACCUAGGAAGACCCUAGGAUAUCUCUCUUUGUUGUUGNNNNNNNNNNNNNNNNNNNNNNNNNNNNNNNNNNNNNNNNNNNNNNNNNNNNNNNNNNNNNNNNNNNNNNNNNNNNNNNNNNNNNNNNNNNNNNNNNNNNAAAACAAGUUUCUAGGGUUUAGAAUCAGUAAAUAUUCAAAGCCUUAAACUUUUAGAUGACCCACAUAGCUUAUUUAUAUGUUUAGAAGACUUAGAAGUAGACUAGGAUUGCAAAAAGUCAUUUUUAAAAACCUGUGUCGUCCUCAAAGACCGGUCUUCUCAAGAAGACCGGUCUGUGAGAGACCGGUCUCUCAAGUGAGGAACUGGUCCCUCACUGCGUGACCAAAAUCACAACGUUCGGGAACCGGUCUCUCAAGCUUGAGACCGGUCCCUCGCUGCGCAACAGAAAUACCAAGGUUCGGGAACCGGUCUCUCAUCAUAGGGGAUCGGUUGCAUCAAAGUUCACGCAGUGAGAACCUUAGGGGAACCAGUCUCUUGACCUCAGGGACCGGUCCCUGAACACAGAAAAGUUCAGUAAAGUAUUUUUAAAGCAAUCUAAGCCUUCUGAACUUAUUCUAAUCAAAUAUCUUCAUCACAAAUGAUCUUUUCUUCAUACCUUAGGUGCCGAACUUUACGAGUGAGUCUUUUUUCUUCAAUUUAGAUCUUUUCUUCAAUCUUCUGCAAUCAACUCUUCAAGACUCCAUUCAACAUUACGAAAUCCGCCAACCUAUAAAAUCCUUAACAGAGUUGGCUUCUGGCGUGUAUCAGACUCCAUUCAUAGCGAUCCAAUAGCUCGUUUCGACCGGUUCAGCUAUUCUGGAACCAAUGGCGCUGACGGAUUUGGGUCCUGAUGCACGAUUUUCGAGAAAAAGGGGUUUGAUUAGUUUCACAUAUAUAAAUAUAUGUGGUUACUUGGUGGAAUGUAAUGAGGGUUGACUUCGUCGCAAAUCGGCGAUCAAAUCAGAUGAAGCGAAAUGGUAGAUUCGAUGCCCUAGUUGUGCUGAACGCGCUGGUGCAAUCCGAUCGAAAACCCUAACCAUAGCCCAACCUACCUCCUCCAGCUAACCCUAGCCAUCACAGCAACCCUCUGCCCUACCCGUGCUCAUGCCCCGGCCGCCAACGAUCAUCCCUGGCUGCCGGAAAAGCAACCAUGACCACCCCUCAACUCUCUCUCCCUCCACAUUCCCUUCCUCUCGGCCGUAGAACUCAGGGAGGCUUCGAAAACCCUAGAAGCUUUAUCCCUCGACCGAGAUUCCCCUCCGAUGCCGUCACCGGCCGUCCCCGCCGUUAGCGCACGCCGUCGGAACCGCCUGCACAAGCUGCAGCCAGCCUGGGCCAACCCAGGACGAGCUGACUUCAACUCGGGGCCCGCUUGUUGGAGGCGCCCUAGAUCGGCCGCCCCGACUUCCUCCGGCCUCCAGCGAUCUCCAGCGCGCGUCCCCGGCCAUCCCCGUGCGCCGCCGGCACCGCCCUAGCUCCCUGCGGCCAACCGCAGUCACCCAGACCGAGCGUGGGUGAUCUUUGCCUAGGCGCACCGCCGCCGCUUCCCGCCGGUCGCGCCGCCCUCCUAGCACCACCGGCGACCUCCCGCUCGCCGCCCUGUCGUCCCCGCACGCUGCCGGCUGCCGCUCACGCCACCUGCCGCCGCCCAGAUCCCGUGCGGACCGAGGCCGAGCCUCCUUGGCUUUCGAGCACCGCCGCCGCCCACUGUCAAGCGCAUCACCUUCCCCUCGGCCUCCAGUGAAGGAUCACCGUCACCCCGAGCUCCUCCGGCCGCCGUCGGGCCGCUGCGGACACGUGGAACCCGAGAGCAAGCCCAGUUUGAUCUCCUCCGCCGCACCACCGGCCGCCUCCCGCCGCCGGCCAGCACCUACCCCGGACCCUUUCGACCGGCCGCACCCUUCCCCGGCCGGACAGCACGCCGUCCGACAGCCGGCGGCCAGCCCUAGCUUUCAUUGGUCAUGUAAGCAUUGUUUUUCAUUCCAGCACUGUAGUUUGGAGUUUUCGAUCACCUUUUCGGUGAUUCGAGGACACCCCGAUGAAUGUGGAAAUGAGCACGAUCAUCCUUGUUUCGUGCUGAACAUCGUGCUCACCUCCGUCGGGGUCAACGGUGCCAUGGUUUGUGUGUUAGAAGCGUUUUAUGUACUAUGCGCGCUAUUCCGCUGAUCUUCGCGUCGUUUGUGCGCUUGCCACAGUGACCUACAGUGCUCCGAAAGGUGAGUAUGGCCUCCGGCAUGCCGAGACCUGUCAGCAGGUGUCUUGUCUUGGCUGAUUGACCAUCCGUUUGCGCUGUCGGGCCAUAAAACCCUGGAAAUCGCAUGAACUAAUGCGAUUUUUUGUAAUCGGAAGGGUUUUUAUGCAAUUGUUUGUGUUGUGGUCGCUGUGGGUAGCGUGUGCGGGAUGUGGGUGACCUCUGGACUGAUUGUCCAAGGCCCCAAGCUCUUGCGAAAAUCGAAAAGUGAUUUCCAGUGCGUUUGUCGGCAAAAUUAGCCGACGGAACGCGUUUUUGGUUCGGAAUUAUUCCGACGGUGCCUGGUGAUGUUUUGUUGUGUUACUGAGCCUUGUUGGCUGGUCACUCGCAUCGUUUUGGGGGUUCGGAAAUGACGGGUGAGCGACGGUGGGUUCCGGUGUCGAAAUCGACACUUCCGGGAACCCGAAUCGGAACGAGUAGCGGACGAUAAUCGUUUCGAUGUGAGGCCUUAUGUUUGCUGCCAAGUUCCAUAGAUAAUAAUGUUUAGUGGUAACAGGCGACUCAUAUCAUGAAUUAGUGAGUUCCGGGACAGUUAGUGGGUCCCGGCAGAGUCCCGGUGCGGUUUCGGGACUUCCGGCGUGUUCGGCAAUCAGUUUUGGGAAACUGAUUCCCGUGGUUUCGUUAGUGGGGAUUGUGAAUUAGUGUGCGGUGAUCAUGGGUUGGAUUCUAACCCAGUGGACCCUCCUUAGGUCCGGUUGACGUUCUUUCGCAGUUAGGAGACAGGCGCGACAUGCUUACAGGUGGAUACUUCGAUUCGAAGUUGGUACAGUGGUGCACGCUCGGUGAUAUCCUCUUGCCUUUGUCUUCUGUUGUUAUUAUUGCAUAUAUAUAGAGCCUUGCACCGAUAUUGUUUUUAUUAUACUCUACUCAGAUGUUUCCAUGCUUAGUAUCAUGUGUAGGAGUAGAGUAGUUUAUCUAUAUGUGAUACCUGUGACCUGGUUGGUCAGUUCUCGUACUUCGUACCAGUGACCUAGUUGGUCGGUUCUCGUACUUCGUAUCAGUGACCUGGUUGGUCGGUUCUUGUAUCUUGUAUCUGUAACCUAUUCGGUCGGUAUACCCUGAGGGGUGGGAUUGUCGGUUAAUUACCGACGGAUACACGCGCUUGCAGGGGGCUGGAUUGUAAAUAAUCAGCUUCGAGGGGUUUUCUGCAAAAAGGCAUCUGGCAUAUAUAGAGUUUUAGGGUUUUAGGGUUUCACCCAUGGAAACCCUAACCCUAGCCCAACCUACCUCCUCCAGCUAACCCUAGCCAUCAGUGCAACCCUCUACCCUACCCGUGCUCAUGCCCCGGCCGCCGACGAUCAUCCCUGGCUGCAGGAAAAGCAACCACGACCACCCCUCAACUCCCUCUCUCCCUCCACAUUGCCUUCCUCUUGGCCGUAGAACUCAGGGAGGCUUCGAAAACCCUAGAAGCAUUAUCCCUCGACCGAGAUUCCCCUCCGGUGCCGUCACCGGCCGUCCUCGCCAUCAGUGCACGCUGUCGGAACCGCCUGCACAAGCUGCUGCCAGCCUAGGCCAACCCAGGCCGAGCUGACUUCAACUCGGGGCCCGCUUGUUGGAGGCACCCUAGAUCGGCCGCCCCGACUUCCUCCGGCCUCCAGCGACCUCCAGCGCGCGUCCCUGGCCAUCCCCGUGCGCCGCCGGCGCCGCCCUAGCCUCCUGCGGCCAACCACGGUCACCCAGACCGAGCAUGGGUGACCUUUGCCUCCGCGCACCGCCGCCGCUUCCCGCCGGUCGCGUCGCCCUCCUAGCACCUCCGGCGACCGCCCGCUCGCCGCCCCGGGGGUCAGGUUUUCAAAAAAAAAAAUUUAGACCCUUCCGCUGUAUUUUGAAACUAAAAAGGAACCCCGUGGCGUGACAAGAGAACAAGUACUAAACAAUGACAUUUUACUAGUUGUGCUUGUCGACAUCAUGUUGUUUAUACUUAUACACAUUCAUGUUAGAAUAGCAUUUACACUUAUGCAAAUCCAUGCUAAGUAGAGGCAUAGUAGUUUACAUGCUCUAUUUAAGUUUAGCAUACAUGUUGUUCAUUCUAUUGUUAGAACUUACUGCUUUUACCUUAUGGCCUAGUGGUGCAUUUUCGCUGAGGUCAGCAAUUGCCCACUGGGAACUAUUGUUUAAUAGUUCUCAGGCCUCCUGUUUUGUUGUUUUUCUUAUAGAGCCUUCCACUCAGGGAGAGGCUCGGGAUCGCGAGAAAAGAAUCACCUCGAGCUAGUUAGCAAGGGAUUUUACGAUAGGUGGUUCACCUCUCUUUUUGUUUUUAUUUUGGAGAGGAUGAGAGUUUUCGUACCCAUGUAUAGAGACCACCAUUUUUGGAUAUUAUAGCACUUGUAUUUGAGACUUAGUGAUGUUCUACCUUAUAUUUUACUUUGGUGGAUUAGUUCUCUUUUCAUUCUACUUGUCAUUAGAAUCUAGUUGUACAUGUGCUCUGAUAUCUCUAGAUACUUGUUAUUUGUUGUUUUAACUAGAUUAUUGUUAUAGAUGCCUUAUAUAUGUAGGCAUAUGGCGGGUCUGGGCACGCAUCGGGCGGGCCUCUGUUGGGUCCCGGAGCGUGACAGAUUAUUUUGGUAUCAGAGCCUAGGGUUGAGUUUUAGUGAACCUAGCAAACCUUAGGCCGGUUGGACUAUAGGAAAUAGGCUCGUGAGAGACGGGGUCUAUAUGACUUGUAAGAGAAAGUAUCAUGAUUGGGUUUUAUUAUAACUCUAAAAAGUUGGAGUUUAAUCGAAGUGUAUAGCUUCUGACUUCGCGGAGGGUUACGUUGGCGGCCGACAACGUAACAUCGGGAGUUAGUGGUAAAGAACACUUCCUUACUUUCGCAUGAUUUGGGUAUUAUUUGCUUGAGUGGGGUUGCGAUAGCAUGGGUUUUUCUAACUUGCGCUUUUAUAUUGUUAUAAUGAUGAUGCCGACUACUCGCUCUAAAUCUGUUGGGGUGGAGAACGCGGCAAAUCUUAAGGAGGUGGAGACCUCCGCCACUUUCGGAUCUAGUGAGGUCAGUGACUUGAGGACCCAGCUUGCGGUCCACACUGACUUAGUGGCACAGCAGGCGGCGGCGGCUCAGUGACAGGCCGAUGUGGCACAUUGGCAAGAGACACGGAUAAAGCGAUUGGAGGAUUUGCUUCAGUAGCAGGCGGCUGCUAGGGAGGUUCAGAUUCCCACACCACCCGCGCGAGUUGAGGAUGUUGCACCGAAGGUGCCGUCUCCCGCGCCCGGUUCUUCGUGGGCGGCACCUUUGGUUUAGCCUCGGGAGGAGGUUGCCGCGGCAUCGCCAGCUCAGGUGCCUCCGGCGGGGGUAGUUUUUCCUCUGAUGGUUGCUGGAGAGGAGCGGGACUAGCUCAUGAAUCGCCUUAAUGAGUUUAGGAGGUGCAAUCCUAGGAUUUUUUACGGAGAGAAGGCCGACCACUGGAUCGUGGAGAAGUGGUUGGUGCAUAAGGAGAAGCUUUUCCACGACACCUUUGUGGAGGAGAGAGACCAAGUUUGGCUCGCCACUCAUCACCUGGACGGCGAGGCCUAUCGUUGGUGGUUGGAUAUUCAAGACAACACUAACACCAACCUUGCGGCUAUUGCCUGGAAAAAGUUUAAGGAGCUUCUGUUGAAGCAUUACUUCCCCGACAGUGUCAAGAGACAGAUGGAGAAGGAUUUGCGUGGCAUGCACCACGAGGAUCGGACUGUAGCCGAGUACGAGAAGGAUUUGCGCGGCAUGUGACAGAUUAUUGCGUGCCCUUCGUCGUGCGGGACGACAAGGACAAGGCCCGCAUUUUCGAGCGUGGGCUUCGGCUGACGAUUUUUCGCUUUGUGUAAUCCUCCAACCAGGAGGUGGUGAACCAUGCGCUCAUUGUGGAGCGCGACGCGGCGGAUGUGCAGGAGCGGAGAGAGGGCUUGGAUAAGGGUAAGGGCAAAAGGCCCGCGGCUGAGGGUACGAGUUAGACGCACUUUAGAAGGCCGCUGAAGCACCCUAGGAGCCAGUCGCGAGGACGUGGCACGUCGGCACAGUGAGGAGGUUCUAAUCGUCGCCGACCUCCCCAGUGUGUGAUCUGCGGUGGUCCUCACAUUUAUGGCUGGCAAAUAAGCAAGCCGGCUCGCGUUCGACUCGCGUUCGACUUGAUAUUUGGCUCGCUCGAGCUCGACUCGAAAUUAAAUGAGCCGAGCUUGAACAAAAAAAAAGGCUCGAAAUUCAUUUCAAGCCGAGCUCGAGUAUUACUUGGCUCGUUCGAAUUAGGCUCGAAAAGCUCGAAAAGCUCGAAAAGCUCGAAUAUAUAUAUAUAUAUAUAUAUAUAUAUAUAUAUAUAUAUAUAUAGUAGAGCUACUAUGCUAUCGAAAGAAUAGAGAUCUGGUGCUUUCGAUUUUUUGAUUCUUAGAUCAAUCCCUUUAAUCGUUUCUUAUCUUUGGAUUAAUAUUAUUAUUACCUUGUAGGGACCACUCAAUCCUAAGAGUAUUAUUUAAUCCUAGGGGAGACCGCAAUCAUCCUAACCAUACAAUUUUUAAUCAAAGGGUCAAAAAUUCAAAAACAUCAAAUCCUCUAUAUUUUCGAUAGUAUAAGUAGUUCACACUAAUAAUAAUAUAUAUAUAUAUUAAAAAAUAUAUAAAUAUAAUAUAUUUUAAUUAUAUAUAGGCUGAGUGAAUAAUCUGAGUUUAGUUAAAAUUAGAACAAUAUUGUUGGCCCAUAAAAACAAACCCAAUAGACAAAUAAAAGAGCAAAAUUUUACUAAAUUUAUAUAUUUUUUCUUUCUUUCUUUCUUUCUUUCACAGAGCUCUAAAUUUUUAAUAUGUUUCUCUCUUUCUCUUUUUCUGUCUCUCACCCUAAGUGGCCAAGCCGGAAGCCCUCUAAGUUACCAAGUAACAUCAUAUGCCCGUCGUUGCCUACCUUGCUAUUAAUUGUAUGCUUGAGAAAAUAUACAGAAUAUUUUUGAAGUAAAAAAUUAUUAUUCAUAUAAAAUUUUAAUUUUAGUUAUAUAUGAUUGGAUAGUUAAAUCUAAUAUUUAUCUAUAUAAUUUAUUUAUUUUUGACUGCAUAAAUGAAAAUGAAUAAUAUAGAGAUUGAAGGCGGAAGAAAAGACAUGUGAGGCUGAAAAAAUUAGAUAUUCAACUCAUAAAUUAUUUUUUUUCAUAUUAUAAUACUAUAUUUCAUAUAAUUAUUUUGUACUUUGAACUAUUAGACAUAUUUUUGUAUCAAAUUAUAGAUAAUGUUCUAUACAAAUUAAACUAUUGAUCGUAUAAUGUUGAGAAUUUCAAGCGGCUCGUUCAGGGUUCGAGCUUGCUCGACUUGAAAUUGGGCUUGCUCGAGCUCGGCUCGAAUUAAUUUCAAUCCAAGCUUGAGCUUAAAUUUAGGCUCGAAAUUCAUUUCAAGCCGAAUUUGAGCCGAGGUAAGCUCGCUCGAGCUCGACUCGUUUCCACCCCUACUCACAUUCCACCGCAGUGUCCACAGCGGGGCGGCAGGUGUUUCCUUUGUGGCCAGGAGGGCCACUUCCGGACCGAGUGUCCGAGGGGUUCAUCACCGGCAUCGUCUUCUGCAUCGGCACUGGCAUUACCAGCUGCUACUCAGGGGACUCCAUCGGCACACUACCAGCCUGGGCGACCACCCGUCCAGCGACAGACUGAGAGGUCACGACAAGCCCCGAGCGGGCGCAUGUAUGCUGCUCAGACAGAGGAGGCGGCAGCAGCCGAGAAUGUGGUGGCAGGUAUCAUUUUAAUCAAUGGCAUUAGAGUUCGAGCAUUAUUUGAUACCGGUGCAUCGCAUUCAUUCAUAGAUCGGCUGUUUGCCGAGUUGCAUGGCAUCCCGUCAGUUUUCUUGUUGCAUCCAGGACGUGUUGUAGUCCCCGACCACUCCUUGGAUAUUAGAGAGUUUUACCCCAGUUGCCCUGUUCGGGUAGGAGAUUGGAUCAUGCCCGUAGAUUUACUUGCUUUGCGCAAAUUUGAAGAGUUUGAUGUGGUUUUGGGUAUAGAUUGGUUGACAAGUAUUUCGCCACUAUCGAUUGCGAGAAUCGAAUGGUUACAUUUAGAGAACCGAGGCAGACGGAGGUUGUCUUUAGAGGAUGCCAGAGUUCGCUGUUUGCGAUGACGAUCAGCUUGUCUCGAGCUAGGUAAUUGAUCAGUAGGGGUUGCAUAGCCUAUUUGGCUAGUGUUGUGUUGAGGGGUGAGGAUGACACCCCUAGGAUUGAGGAUAUCCCGGUAGUACGGGAGUUUUGUGAUGUGUUUCCAGCGGAGCUACCUAGUAUGCCACCUGAUAGAGAGAUUAAGUUUGUGGUAGAUCUCAUCCCCGAAACUACUCCAAUCUCAAAGGCGCCCUAUAGGAUGGCACCAGCAGAGUUGAAAGAGCUGAGGGCACAACUGCAGGAUCUUUUGGAUAAAGACUUUAUUCGCCCGAGUGUUUCAUUGUGGGGAGCACUAGUAUUGUUCGUUAAGAAGAAGGACGGAUCACUUCGCUUGUGUGUGGACUAUCGUGAACUUAAUAAAGUCACGAUCAAGAACAAAUAUCCGUUACCGAGGAUCGAUGAUUUGUUUGAUCAACUUCAGGGAUCAAGUGUGUAUUUCAAGAUCGACUUGCAGUCGGGAUACCACCAGUUAAAGAUCAAGCCUGAGGAUGUAUCGAAGACGGCUUUCAGAACACGGUAUGGACAUUAUGAGUUUACUGUUAUGCCGUUUGGGCUUACUAAUGCCCCGGCAGCUUUUAUGGAUCUAAUGAACCGUAUUUUUAAGCCUUAUCUAGACAGGUUUGUCGUGGUGUUCAUCGAUGACAUUUUGGUCUAUUCCCGAAGUGAUAAGGAUCACAAGGAGCAUUUAAGACUUGUACUUCAAAUGCUUCAGGAAAAGAAGCUCUUUGCCAAAUUAAAGAAAUGUGAAUUUUGUCUUAGAGAGGUGACAUUCUUAGGACAUCUGAUUUCGGGAUCGGGUAUAGUCGUGGAUUCUAAGAAGAUUGAAGCUAUCAAGGAUUGGCCCAGACCGACGAGCGUCACGGAAAAUCGGAGCUUCCUUGGAUUGGCCGUGUCACGCCCCGGGACCGAUACCAAUUUGGCCCGACCCGAGCACGUCAAACAGACGCCGAACGGACAGAGUUUCCCCUAUCCGCCCAAGGCUCAUCACAUGUACAUUUUCAUCAACAGAGAAAAGCACUAGCGGAAACAUAUAUAAACGGCUUACACGAGGGUAAGCAAUAGCCAUUAGUGAAAGAAAAAGAAAACUAAACAUUCACUUGUACUAUGAUUCAUUUUUGAUCAUAUACAUUGCAUUCAUCUUGUUCAUUUUCAAAUUCCUUACAUUUCAUUUCAUCAUUUCUUUCUUACAUCACAUUUACCUCAAAAUACACAUUACAUUCUUUUCUUUACAUCAUUUACCAUCAUGUACAAAAGAUGAUCAUAGGGUACUUUACUACAAAAUGAAACCCAACUUUGGUGGCCUCUGACUAAGGCGCGAUACCUUUACCUCGGUCGCUCGCCGGCUCGCUCGGUCCCGGCUCUGUGGAAAUAGUGGGGUGAGAACUACAACAAAGUUCCCAGUGGGUUCGGCCUCAACAUCACCGACUUUCCCACUAGGACUAACUCAGGCAUAAUAGAAAGAAUAAGCUGCAUAUAGUAACCAAUCUAUACAUGAUGCUAAUAUGCCUGAACAAUAAAGCAAGGAGUAUGCUCAACAUUAAAUAAAUGCAGAUUAUGCAAAUUCUUUGUUCUUUUCACUUUACUCUUUGUUCUUUGUUCUUUGUUCUUUGCACUUUGUUCUUUGCUCUUUGUUCUUUAAUCUCAAGGCUAACCCGGGGGUAUCGCCACAUUAACUUGCUUCACAUUAAGUCCAUCAUCGCAGGAACUCACCCGCUAGGACCGUCCUUCGGGUUUACUCCAACCCGUGAUGCAUAACUCCGGAGCGCAUCGCCCGAGGGGGAGCGACCGCCCUCGAGCACGGAACUCAUAGCAAGUAUGAUCAUAUCCUUAACUCAAAGGAUUUAUAAGUUCAAUCUUGACUUUUCACUAGCUCUAGUGUUCUUUAUAUCACUUUAUGUUGCAAACUCAUGCAAUCACAUUCUUUAUUUUUCUUUUACUUUUGCCAUCUUUAGCAUUCUUGUUCUUAUUGCCCCACUUUACUUUAACUUCACACGUUGUCAUUUUCAUCAUUCUUUACAUCACUUUAGUUCUUUACAUCACACUAACUCUAGUGUCAUUUCACAUUAGCUUUUUCGAAUGCCACUCGAUCUAUGUCAUUGUGCCACUCUGUUCUUUUGCUCACUUUGGGUGCUCACUUUUCUCUCAUGCAUACACAUAGGGUUUUCGACAUCACAAGUUCUUAAUCAUCAUAUUAUGCAAGUUGUACUCACAAUCAUGCAUCAUUACAUUUUCAUCAUUACUUUAUCCUAAAAUGCAUGCAACAACAUAUAUAUAUGCUCAAAUGAAUGACACAUUAGGCAUAGAGGGAAGUUCAACGAGUUUGAGAAGCACCACCCACCUCGUAGGCUUUCAAAGGUGCUCCGAUGAUUUUCUUGGGAUUUUUAGAUGCUUCGUUCUCUACCUGCGGCAUAACGAAGCCAAAUUAGGCUUAUUUGGCCAUAACUUUGCAUCGGCUUUUCGUAACGUUAAUCCGAGUGCACCAACGCGUCGGAAAUACCCCCAAUUAGAUUUUUAGAGGGUCAAUUGCACUUAGAAACCCUCAUGAGCAAAAGCCCCAAUUUGGGUGUCCUAGCUCCAAUGUAUAUCAAAACCUAGGGUUUGAUCUCUUUGGGAAGCAAAAGUAGCUUCACUAUACUCUAAAUAGUCCAUUAGAACCAUUCUUAGGCUUUCUAAAACCCUUGAUUAGAUUUCACCAUGAGAGGUGGUCCAAGCUCACCUCUAUAGCAAACCAAGGUUUUGAUCUCUAAAGAAGCAAAGAGAAAGCUUCAAAAACUCUAAACAAUCCAUUAAAACCAUUUCUAGGUUAAUUCAAACCCAUUUCUAGGGUUUUACUACAUUAGGGUUCAAAGCUUACCUUGUAAGCUUCCUUUUCUUGCACUAGAGAAGAAGGAGAUGGAGCCUCUUUGCUCCAAAAGCUUCUUCUUCACUUUCUUCUCCUUCUUUUCCUUCUUUUCUUCCUUUCUUCUUCUUCUCCUUCUUUGUCUUCUAGAGAGAGAAAGAGAGAAGAGAGUGUGAGAGGGUAAGAAUGAGAGGAAAAGCCCCUCAGCCCAUUAACAUAGCUCAAUGGAUUGCAAAAAUGCAAUAAAACCCCUCAACUUUUAUCUCUGUGCACUGCCUGGACUGGGCAGUUUUCGCAGGCAGAGACCGGUCUCCCCGAGCAGGGACCGGUUCCCGAAGGUCCACCCUGCGCAGCCAGAGCGGCUGCGCGCAAUGCGACCGGUCUCUCUCUGAUGGGACCGAUCUCUGGGGGACCGGUCUCUCAGGCAGAGACCGGUUCUCGAGAGCUGAUCUUCCAGGACUUAGCCGAUUUUUCGGCUGUCUCAUUCUGCACGCGUUCGGGGACCGGUCUCUCCCACCAGGACCGGUCCCCGAGAGCUCAAAAUCUGCAGUUUUGCAGAAUUUGAUUCUUUAGCUCUCGAAAACCUUCCGUAACUCACUUUUAAUCAUUUUAACACCUUCGGACUUUCCGAAGUGUACCAUCUUCGCACUUUGGUCAAUUUGACUAAAGUUCGAUAUUUAUUUUCCGAAUUUUUCGGUAUAUUACAGGCCGGCUACUACCGGAGAUUCGUCGAGGGAUUUGCAAAGCUAUCCACUCCCCUCACGUAGCUCACGUACAAAGGCACCAAGUUUAUUUAGAAUAAUGCGUGUGAAAGAAGCUUCCAAGAGUUAAAGUCUCGGUUGACAACCGCCCCGAUCCUAACCUUGCCAGUUGCUGAAGCAGGGUAUGUGAUCUAUAGUGAUGCUUCCUUUAAUGGAUUGGGCUGUGUUUUGAUGCAGGAUGGGAAAGUGAUAGCGUAUGCUUCUCGCCAGUUGAAGGAAUAUGAAAGAACUAUCCUACACAUGAUUUAGAGUUGGCGGCCAUAGUUUUUGCAUUGAAGCUAUAGCGCCAUUAUCUUUAUGGCGAGCGGUGUAAAGUAUACACGGAUCACAAGAGCUUAAAGUACCUAUUCACUAAGAAAGAGUUGAACUUGAGACAGCACAGAUGGUUGGAGCUACUCAAAGAUUACAAUUUGACUAUUCUCUACCACCCGGGUAAGGCUAACGUGGUGGCAGAUGCGCUAAGUCGGAAAUCGACGGAUAACUUAGCGAUGCUUAUAAUCACUCAACCGCCGUUGAUUGAGCAGAUGAAGCGGUUGGAGUUAGAGGUGGUGGCUCCUGAUACACCCUUGAGACUGAUGACAUUGGUGGUGCAACCGACACUAUUGGAAAGAAUUAAAGAAAAGCAAGCUCACGACGUGGAGUUGCAAAAGAUUCGAGCUAAGAUGAUUGUUGGUUACACCGGUGAUUUCCUUGUGGAUGAUCAAGGGUUGUUGCGAUUCCACGGGCGGACUUGUGUACCGGCGAAAUUAGGAAUUAAAGAAGAUAUCCUUCAAGAAGCACACCGUGCACCUUAUGCUAUUCAUCCAGGAGGCACCAAGAUGUACAAGGAUUUGAAGUUACUUUAUUGGUGGCCCGGGAUGAAAAAGGAUGUUGGCGAGUUUGUAGCUCGAUGUUUAACUUGCCAACAAGUAAAAGCUGAGCAUCGGUUACCUGCGGGAAAACUUUAGAGUUUACCGAUUCCCUUUUGGAAGUGAGAAAAGAUCACCAUGGAUUUUGUUAUAGGUUUGCCUCGCUCUCAGGCCAGGUAUGAUACUAUUUGGAUGAUCGUGGAUAGGUUUACAAAAUCGGCUCAUUUCAUACCUAUUCACACUACUUGGACUGGUGAGAGGCUCGCACAGGUAUAUUUGGAUGAGAUUAUGCGACUUCACGGGGUACCCACUUCGAUAGUAUCAUAUCAAUAUCCCAAGUUAAUUUGUAUCUUACUUCUGAAGGAGUCUACAGGAUGCCUUGGGCACGCGCUUGGAUUUCAGUACAGCUUUCUACCUCCAGAGUGAUGGGCAGUCAAAGCACACUAUACAGACCUUAGAGGAUAUGCUUCGAGCUUGUGUGAUAGACUUCCAGGGAGGAUGGUUCCAGCAUCUACUGAUAGCAGAGUUUACUUAUAACAAUAGUUAUCAAGCAAGCAUCAAGAUGGCACCCUUUGAAGCACUCUAUGGACGAAAGUGUAGAUUGCCAUUCCAUUGGAGUGAAGUUGGCGAGAGAUUGGCUUUAGGCUCCACUACAAAAAAGUUGAUUUGCGGUAACAGUUAAUUUAGAAACAUUUAACACAAGCGCUGGCAAAAAUAUGUUUUAGCAGCGGUUUUAACUAAUUAUUAUAACAGUUCUAAACCGUCAGUAUAUAGUUUAGUUCAAACUAAAUUAAAUUAAAUUUUUUUCCACACAAUCCUCAAAAUAUUGAAGUACAAUCAUAUGUUCUUCAUAUUUUCUAUAUAAAAAGAUACUAUUUUAACUCAGAAAAUAAAAAUUUUGAAAUUAAGAAAAAAAUUAUCAAAAUAUAUAAAAAAAGAAAAAUAUAACAAUAAGUUUUGUACAAUUUAAAUUUUUUAAUAUCAAACUUAUUCUAGCUUUGAAUAAUGUAUAAUUAGUUAAUAAAUUUAAUAAUUUUUUUAAAAAAAUGUUAAGUCAUAUUAAGGAUUGAGAAAAAAAAAAUCCAAAAUCAAACCCGACCCAAAAAAAGCCCCAGCCCAACUCCCGCCACCCCUACACGCACACAGAGGGACCAAGGGGAAAAAGAAAAGAUAAAAAAAAAUUGCGCCCCCCACCUUCACGAUCAAACCCUCCCUCUCCCCUCACGCGCAUCCCGACUCUCUCUCCCUCAACACCCCUACCCUCUCUUUCUCUCCAACAUCGAUCUCCCUCUCCGACACCGCACCAACCCACGGGACAAGAGAGGAGCUAGUAAUCGCUUGGUACUAGCAAUUGCUUGUAGAGCUCGAUUUUUGGCUUCAUAUCAGUGUUUUUGAUGCAAUUUGUGCUUGAUUUUCUCUCUUUUUUUUGUUUAUUAUGCUUCUACUUGCUCGGAUUUGGUACUAAUUGCUUGGAUUUGGUACUACUCGCCUCGACGCCAACAUAGAGCGAGAGAUCGCUUGAAUUGGGGGUUUCGAUUGCCCAGUGGCGGAGGUGAGCUCUCUUUGUAUGAUCGGGGGCGAUCGGGUCCGCUUUUGCGCCAUUUAGGGCUUCAAUUUCCAUGUUAUUCGAUGUUUUGUGCUUAUAUCUAAUAGAUUCUGAUAGAUUAACUAGCAUAAGGAUUAAAAUUCGAGGAUUGAAGUGCAAUUGUAUACUAUUUUAAGGAUGAUUUUUGUAAUUUAUCUAUUUUGAAUGAAAUUUCUAGCCAAAUUUGGCUUUAUCGAUUAUAAAUAGUUACGCUUAUGAUGAACUUCUAAUCUGCAAACUAAUUUUUUUAUUCUAAAAGAAUAAUUUAAAGGUUGAUAAUUUAGAGACUCUCUUAUGUUUACCAACUACUCUGCUUUUGGUUUCUGAUCUUUAUACUCUUUCUUAUGUAGGUGCAGUUCUAUUUGCUUUUUGAUUCAGUUUUCACGUGUAGUUUUAAUGGAACUGUAGAAUAUUUUUUCUUUUCUCCCUUUAUCUCUCUAUUGCUAGGUUACGAUAUUAUAUUCAUAAAGUCAGUAGCUAACGUAGGAUUUCGAUAGUAGGUUGUUAGUGAUGCAGGACCGUAGAGAUAGAAACAGAAUAAAUAAAGUGAAACAUUAACCUGAUAUUACAUCUUGAAAAAACGGAAGUAACUAAGCACACUAAAGCAUUGAAAUCAGAUUUCCGAACAACCACUCAAAGAGUUCAAGCCACUGAUUGGGAUGCUAGCUCUAUUAUCUCAAAGUAUGAUAUUUGGGGUUAAAAUUAAGCUACUAUACCUUGUGUGUGUGAUAGCUUCAUAUGUUUAGCUCAUCAUUUCUCCAGAUUUUCUAUGUAGUCACUUGUUUUCUUUUAUAUAUCUAAGCCCAAUAAUCUUUGGCAUUAUAGCAUAGUUGAUAUAAUUGUUUGGAGGUUAGUCCAGUGACGUACAUUUGAAUUUUUUUUUUUAAUUUCUUUCUGAUUGUUUUCAUGCAGCACCAAAGGCUUCUGUUGAUGAAGCCACUUCAAAUCACCAAAGGCUUCUUGGAAGGUAAUGUUGAUUUAAUCGAUGUUCUAUCUCCUCGUAGGACGUGUAUUCUAUAUACUUAAAUUAUCAUAUAUGAUAUUAAUUAUAAUGAAUCUUGGACCUACUCGAUUUAAUGUAUUUGUUAGUAAUUAUCUGAACCUAGUAAAUCAAUGAUGGUACCCUAAAAGUUGGUUAUAAUAGGCUGAUUUUGUAUUUACUUUUGAUGAAGCUACACAAAUCAUAAUUGCCUAAUGUCGGCAUAUCAAAAAUUGUUAUAUGAGACUUUCAGGUAAUUCUGUCUUGUAAUUUAUCAAAAUGUCUUUUUAAGUACAGGGCACUUAAUAACUACCUCUUUGUAAUAACAAAUUGACUAGAAGGUAUAUAAAAUAAAUGUAUCAAAAGUAUUUUUGAAAUACCAAAGGUCAAAAGACAAGGGUUAUUGAAGAAAAUUAUGUAAUUUUAUUAAAGGUCAUUAAGCAAUCUAUAUUUUUAGGCUACUGAUGAAUCAAAUUUGUUGUUAUUGAUCGAUUUGUACCAAAAGUGAAUUGUCCAGCUAGCAAGUUGUGUAGUAUUUGUGAUGUUGAAGUAAUUCUCUUUGAUCAUCAUCAUCAAUUUUUAGUUAAGGCAGACUUAUCCCACUUGGUUUUAGGGAGAGCUUAGUUAAUUCGUCGUGAUAGUUCCAUGGCCAUCAUUAAUUACUGCUUAUGGUGGAUGCAUCUUGUUGUUAAUAUUGGUGAUCUAAGGUGACUCAUGGAUUUAUAACCAUUCAGCGCCUUUGUGUCUGUAAUCAUUUUUCUGCCUAUUUAUGGUGAAUCUAUUGUUUGUGUAGGUUUCAAUUAUAUGAUUUGGUUGAAUGUAAGGUUCAGGGAGGUCGUAAUUGCUAGAUCAGUUCACUUUCUUUUCUAUUAAUAUGACUGAAACCAUGAAACAAUAGUUUAUGCUCGAUAAUUAUCUAUUCAAUAACAUAUACGCUUUAAAUGACGAGCUAAAGCUAAUUCUAUAGCCAUCAAAGUAGAUGGGAAAAAAGCAUCAUAAUGAUAUUAUCGGCUUGUUCUGUUGGUGUUUUCCUAUAUUUCUUUCAAGUGUUUUGGUAAUAUUAGUUUCUCUUUCUUGAAUUCUGUUUCUUUCCAGUUCAAGGCGCUAUCAGAUCAGUUUUAUCAUACUCCUGAACACCAUGAUUUUGUGAGGGAGUAAGUUGUCAAUAAGGUUGGUUCAUUAGGCAAUGUUGUACUCGUACAUUCAUUUUGACCUACUAUUCUUUAAUCAUGCAAUAUUUUCCUUUUCUUUUCUAGCCUUCAUAAUAUUAUUAUUUUGGUAGAGUGUUGCUAUUUUGCAUCUUAAUUUGGUGAUCUUCUUCUCUUAUUAUUGAUCCUUAGCUAAAGUCUCACCGAGAGAUGCAAGAAGGAUAUGUCCCUAUGGGCUAUGAUGACUACCUGGAAAGGAUGUCCAAGUGAGUUGUAAUACUUUUCUGUAUUCACCUUUAACUGUUAAGAGCUUAUAUGCUAGAAUAUUUAACUUAUUUUAUUUGGUCUGUAAUUGAAAGAUGGUUUAGGAGCCUUUUGAUUUUAUUGUUUCACUAAUUUUUUUUUUUUUUUUUUCAGGAACUUUCGAGGAGGAAGGAUUGAUGAACACUGUUAAUUUGAAGUGAAGUCCUUGAAUAAGUUGAAGAACUCGUAGAAUUUUGAUUUCAUAUAGAUUUUAUUUCUUUUAGAUUGAAAAUUUUUUUGAAUAAAAUUUUUGAUUGACAAUUGUGUUUUUAGUGUGCAAACUAUCUUGUUUUGUUAAUUGAUUUAGCUUCUCUUGUUUGACAAUUGUUGUAUAUAAUCAAAUUUAAAUUUGUUUGAAUGCUUAAUUUGUACUUAUAUCUCAAUGUAAAGAGUCCUAAAAUUUAUUCUAACUUGUUUUUAGUUGUAUGUUUUAUAUUUUGAAUUGGAUUCAUAAUAAUUGCAAAACCGUUGGUAUAAAUUUAUUCAUUUAUACUAGCGCUUUUUAUCAUAUUUAGUAGCGGUCGGAGAAGCGUCAUUAAAAUUAUCACCUUCUCCAAUGGUCACGUAAACCGUCGGUAAAGGCUUUUAGUGCCAGAGAUCUACCGGCGGUUAUAAAAUUUUUCCCUACGAUUUUACAAAUGUCGGAAAAAAAUUUUCCAGCGGUUCUAGAUGCUUUUUCCAGCGGUUUUGACCGCUUCUAAAAUUUAAUUUUUUUGUAGUGCCCGAAUAUGCUCCAGGAAGUAGAGGAUAAAGUUCGCAUUGCUCGGGAGCGUUUGCUGACGGCCGAGAGCAAGCAGAGGAGCUAUGCCGAUCGACGACGGUGAGACUUGGAGUUCCAAGUUGGAGAUCAUAUCUUCUUGAAAGUCUCGCCGACCAAGGGAAAUAGAAGGUUUGGCAUCCGGGGUAAGUUGAGCCCCCGAUUCGUUGGACCCUAUGAGAUUUUGGAGCGUGUAGGCCCGGUAGCGUAUCGACUUGCUCUACCACCAAACCUAUCGGGUGUACACAAUAUUUUUCAUGUAUCGGUCCUCCGAAAAUACAUCUUUGACCCAGCUCAUGUUUUGAAAGUUAUAACAUUGGAGCUGAGGGAUGAUUUGAGCUUUGAAGAGCAACCGGUGAGGAUUUUGGCUCGCGAGGUGAAAAAGCUGCAGAAUCGCGAUAUUUCCUUUGUAAAGGUGCUUUGGAGCAACCACGAUGAACGCGAGGCCACGUAGGAGUUGGAAAGCGCACUGCAAGAGCGUUAUCCCCAUCUUUUUCAGAUGGAGUCUUGAGGUAACUUGCUUUUUAGUUUCGCAAAUGAAACUCCUUUUUAGGAAGGAAAAAUGUAAUGCACUGGAUCGUUGCAAAUUGCGAGGUUCGAUGUCUGAUUUGUGUUUCGAGCUUUUCCACACUUUCUGAAGGGUCGUUGAUAGUGUUUUGACUCAUGGCUCGCAUCCCGAGAAUUGAGGUUUAAAACUUAGCACCAAACCUCGAAAUUGCAGGAAUUUUGGUUGCUCUCGGGUUUGCCUCUGGAAGGUAGAGUACCGGUACUACAAUUGCAUUAUCGGUACUGCAGGGCAGAGUAUCCGUAAGAUGGUGUUGCAAGAAGCGCAUCAUUUCCCGUAUAGUAUUCACCCGGGCGGCACUAAGAUGUAUAAAGACCUGAAAUUGCAUUAUUGGUGGCCGGGCAUGAAAAGAGACAUUGGGGAGUUUGUAGCGCAGUGUUUGACGUGCCAAUAAGUGAAGGCCGAGCGUCGAUUUUCCGCGGGGAGGUUGCUGAGCUUACCAAUCCCCGUGUGGAAAUGGGAGGACGUAGCGAUGGACUUUGUGGUUGGAUUACCCCGAUCGCAAGCCGGACAUGAUGCCAUAUGGGUGGUUGUGGACCGUUUGACGAAGUCGGCUCAUUUCUUGCCGAUCCACACCACAUAGUCAGGAGACAAGUUAGCACAAGUCUACUUGGAUGAGGUAGUGAGAUUGCAUGGGGUUCCAGUAUCGAUUGUGUCAGAUCGAGACCCCUGGUUCACUUCUCAUUUCUAGAAGAGCUUGCAGGAUGCUCUAUGCACGCGCGCGGCUCGAUUUCAGUACGGCAUUUCAUCCUCAGAGUGAUGGCCAGUCAGAGAGGACAAUUCAGAUACUCGAGGAUAUGUUGCGAGCAUGUGUACUCGAUUAUAGUGGAGGGUGGCAUGAGUAUUUGCCGAUGGCGGAGUUCGCUUGCAAUAACAGCUACCAAGAAAGUGUAGCGAUUGCGCCAUUUGAAGCACUUUAUGGAUGUAAGUGUCGCUCUCCUAUCCAUUGGAGCGAGGUGUGUGAAAGAGUCACCCUUGGUCCGGAUGUGGUGUGAGAGGCGGAGGAGAAAGUUCGUCUUGCUCGCCAACGAUUGAUGACGGCACAAUCGCGACAACGAAGUUAUGCAAAUAAGAGUCAAAAGGAUUUGGAAUUCGCGGUUGGCGACCGUGUAUUUCUCAAGGUGUCGCCUAUGCGCGGAGUGAAGUGGUUUAGCAUUCGGGGGAAAAGUCCCCGAUACAUAGGGCCAUACGAGAUCCUAGAGCGGAUUGGGCCGGCGGCGUAUAAGUUAGCGUUACCGCCGAAGCUUGCGGGAGUGCACAACGUAUUCCAUAUAUCGAAUCUCCGCAAGUACUUCCGUAACUCCUCACAUGUGUUGGAGUAUGAACCGGUAGAGUUACAUGAGGAUGUCACUUAUGAAGAAUUCUCGGUGAGCAUUCUUGCUCGAGAGGAGCGGAAGCUACGGAAUCGGACUAUUCCGUAUGUAAAAGUGCAAUAGUAAUCACUCGAGGCGUGAAUCCACGUGGGAGCUCGAGGAGAAGAUGUGCGAGGUUUAUCCUCACUUGUUCGAUCAAGUGAGCUAAGCUACGUGUUAAGUUUCGCGGACGAAACUAAUUUUAAGGGGGGGGAAUGUAACAUAUCACUUCCCCGUAAAUCGUGCUGCGUUCCUUCGAAGCGAACGGAACGCGGAGUGGAACAAGUUACAAUGGGUUCUAAGUGUUUUGGAACCUUGGUAUAGUGUAAAGGGACCCGAGAGAGUGAAACUGGAAAAUUUGGUCAAGUCCCAGAUUUUGGACUCUCGGGACCGGUCCCUGCGAGGAGAGACCGGUCCCCGUACGCGUAGCCAGCCAAAAAGUGUGAAAAAUCGGCUAAGUCCUGAGAGUUGUGCUCUCGGGGACCGGUCCCUGCGGAGAGAGACCAGUCCCCGUGAGCGAAAAAUGUCCCCAGCGGCUAAGUCCUGGAAAACCCACUCUCGGGGACCGGUCCCUACGGGGAGAGACCAGUCCCCGUAUGCGAAAUUUGCCCAGUGAAGGCUGAUGUGAAGAAUGGAAUUAAGAGGGGCUAAAGUGCAAAGUGGCAUGGUGAAAGGUUAUAUGUGUGUGUGGGCAUGAGUUCUAGGGCUCAUUUCUCACACCCACAACAAAAUAUCUCCCUCUCUCUCUCUAAAAACCUUCUCCUCUCUCAUCUCCUUCUCUCUAGAGCUUGGGCCAAGGAGGGCUUUUGGAGAAGAAAAGCUUGGAGAAGAAGCUUGUCUAGGUGGAAGCUAGCUUGUGCAAGACUUUUGAAGGAAAAGCUUGCACUCUAAGGUGAGUUUCCAUGUUUUCUUCUUAGGGUUUUGAUGUUUGCUUCUAGUUGAAGCAUCUAGGAGCCUCUAUAGUAGUUUUCCCCUAUAGUAUACAUGCUAGGGACCAUGAAUGGGGAAGAUGACAUUGUUGAGGGACCCAAAAUUGGGGUUUUUGGAUUUUGAGGUCAAAGCUUGGGUUUGAUCUCUUUUUAACCUAAUCGGUAGGUCGACGAACACGUUGGUAUGCUCGGUUCGGCGAUACGACGAGCGUACGCGAAGAUAUCGACGAAAGAAGCUAAAAUAGUACAGAUUGCCGUAGCUUGCGGCAUUGGACUCUAAAAAUUGCAAGAUUUGGCGCACGACAUCCUUAUAACACUAAAAGGUGGGGGAUGCUAUCCGAAAAUACCGAAUUUCUCUCUAUGUCUAUGUUACCUAAUUUGAGCAUAUUGAUUGUAGCAUUCUUGCAUAUAGGGUAGUGUGAAAUAUGUUCCUGGUUGAAAUGCAUUUAGAUGCAUAAAGAAUAUGAGAAAUGAUAAUGAACCAAGUGAACCAUGUAUGAAAGGACCCUAUGUGCAUGUGAAUGUGAGAAAAGACUAUGACAAUAGUAAACAAAGGUGACAUCGACUAUAGUGACUCGAUUGGCAUUGAGAAAGAGAUUGGCUAAACAAUGUUUAACCUAGAGUGGCAUCAUGACUAUUGUGGUUCGGAUAUAGUGGCAUAUGCAUGAUAUGUUGAUAACCUAUCAUCGGUAUUGAGGCUUUGUGCAUUGAGACAGGUUUGGCUACGUCCUCAAAUUGAGGAUUGGAUCGUACUCACACAUUGGUUCCGGCUUAAGGGAGGUAGCUCCUCCUCAAGUAGUGUACUCCGAAAUGUAGACACCACGAGGAAGUACCCCGGCGGAGAUCCCUCGGGCGGUAGUGCCUUGUGCCUCCCCGGUAGACGGAAUAUGUGGAUUGUGAGUUUGGGGUGAACCAAGAGUACCCUGGGAUGAUUGGGUAAAAGCCAUGGAAAAUGAGAAAGGACAUACAUGCAUAAUUAUCAUGUACUUGAUUAUUUAUCUAUCUGUGGACAGCUUUCUUGCAGGCAUUGUAUUAGUUGCAUUAGUGGGUUUGAUAUUCUCCUUUAUUGAAAUACAUAUGCCUGAAUAAACCUAGUGGGCGAGUCGGCGCGGUCGGCGACCGAGCCCACUGGGAACUUCUUUUAGUUCUCACACCACCACUAACCCUGCAGAUCCAUGCGCGAGCGGGGCGGCGAAGGAUCGAAGCAAGGGUAUCGCGCCAUAGAUAGCGGCCUCGGAGUUUAUAGGCAUACCCUAUGUUUUGUAUAUUCAACUUUUGUAUGUUGAACUAGUAAUGUAAAGAGAUGUAAUCAUGUAUUUUGGAUGAAAGCCAAUGUGAUCUAAAUGUAAAUGAAUGGAUAAGAAUGAAUGUAAAUGUAUAGUGCUUGUGUUGGAUUCAAAUGCAAUGAAAUGACGUGUAUGUGGACGAAUGUUUAGUUUAGUUUCGAUGCUUUCACUGUGAUUUAGUUGUCGUUUGCCCUCAUGCAAACCUUGCAUAAUUGCGUUCAUUUGUAUUGAAUUGUUUGUAUUAUACAUGUUGUUGGAGCCUUGGGCGGACAGGGGAGGUGUUGUCUGUUCGACGUCUGUUCUCGUGCCCGAACCGACCAAAUUGGCGACUCCGGGGCGUGACAGACAUAGUGGUAUCAGAGCAAAGUGAAAGCAAAAGUCUAGGAUGGACUUAGGGACCUUAGGAUUGGAGACCAUAGGAACUUAGAAGACGUUUAACGUGGAUUUGGAUAUGCGGAAGCUAAUUGAUUGGGUUAUGAUUAGAACUUCUCUAAAAGGACUUAGAGAUGGAUUCAAGGGAUUGUUUGUUUUCUUCCUGAGGGAUUAUGUGGGGCGGCCGGCUACAUAAUGCCGAGGGUAGAAAAUGAACACACAUGAUUGCUUUCGCUUAAUUGGGUAGUUAUUUGGAACGUGUAAGAGUUACGCGUGUCGAGUAUUAACGUGUGUGUUUCGUUUUGGGAGCUAAUGUCCCCGAGAUGUUACACGCAUAGAUCUGCUCCGGCAUUGCCUGAUAAAGUGCCCGAGCAAGCUGGAUUUGAUGAAGUUCGUGAGUUGCGGGCCCAAGUGCGGCUUUGGCCGGGGCUAUGCGGCAGCAAGGGGAGCAGAUAGGACGGCUCCAUGAGUUCGUGGCCCGACAGGCGGCGGCGGCUGCACCUAUACCUCAGGACCCGCCCGCACCUGUGGCACCUACUCCAGCGGUGGCGGCGACACCAGUGACGGCUAUUCCUCCGACUGCUUCGGGUUCUUCGGCUCCUAUCCCGGAGGCACUUGAGGCUGAGCAGGAGCGGUCGUUGGCGGUGUUGACGGCCUUCAAACGGUUCAACCUAUCGACUUUCGACGGAGAUGUGAAGGAUCCGUGGGUGAUGAAGAAUUGGUUGGUCGCGAUGGAGGCGUUGUUCGAGGAUAUUUACACCCUUGAGAAGGAUAAGGUUCACCUUGCGGCCCAUUGUUUCGAGGGGUCGGCUCGGUUAUGGUGGACGCAAGCGAAGAAAAGUCGAUCGUUGGAUCUUGCUUCCGUUACUUGGGAGGCAUUCCGGGAGAUGUUGCUCAUGGAGUAUUUUUUCGAAAGCGACAAGCGGAAGAUCAAGGAGGACUUCCGCAAACUCAGGCAAGGAAACCGAUCGGUGCGGGAAUACGAGAGAGAGUUCUCGCACAUGGUUAAUUGUGUGCCGGGAUUGGUUCAUGGUGACCGAGACCGAGCGGAAGUCUUCGAGAGCGGGUUGUGGCCCGAGAUAUUCAAGGUCAUUCAUGCCUUCCGAUUGAAGACCUACGAGGAUGUACUCGAUCGCGCGCUAUGGGUGGAGCGCGGCAACGCCAUUGCGCGCGAGGAGCGCGAGGCUUUUGAGAAAGACAAGGACAGGGAGAAGUCCAAGAAGCUACCGGCUGGUGGUUCCCUGGGGCAGUCGAGUUCCAAGCGACCCCCUCGGUACCCAAGAUCGCAAUUGCGGGGAGGCAGAGGCCAGACAAGGAGUUAGACGACUUCCUUCCCGUGCGUGAUCUGCGGCGGGAAUCAUAGGCCCAAUGAAUGUUCUCAGCGUGACGGGAGGUGUUUUCGAUGCGGCCAAGCGGGACACUUGAGUUGGGAUUGCCCGGGCGGUGCGUCACCUGCUCCGUCAGCUGCUUCUGCUUAAUAUGCUCCACGACAGCUUGCAGGACUGUCACCUGCUAUGUCGGCUGGGCGUGCUUCAGCACUGCAUCAGCCGAAGGGAUCACGUGCACCGAGUGGACGAGUUUUCGCCACUCAGGUGGAGGAGCAGCCUGCUGUACCCGACAACGUCGUGGCAGGUAUUAUUCUGAUUAAUGGCAUUAGAGCAAGAGCAUUGUUCGAUACGGGUGCAUCACAUUCAUUUAUUGGUGCAUCAUUUGCUGAGACUCAUGGCAUGGAGAUAGUGCAUAAUCAUGAUUAUUGGUGGGUUAAUGCGCCCGAGCACUCGUUUAGAGUUCACGAGGAAUGCUUAGCUUGUCCUGUUCAGAUCGACGAGUGGAUCAUGCCGGCGGACUUGCUAGUGUUGAAGCAGAUGUGGGGAUUUGAUGUCAUCUUGGGAGUUAAUUGGUUCUCCAAGUACUAUGCCAGCAUUGACUGUGACAGUAAGGUGAUCACUUUUCAUGAGCCUGUUCAAGAGGAGUUGGUGUAUCAAAUGUGCAAGAGCUCGCGCUUCGCGUCGACCGUGUCGGCGACGAGGGCGAGAAAGAUGAUCAAAAGCGGAUGUGUGGCCUAUUUUGUGACCAUAAUAGAGUACCCAGAACUUGAAAGUAUCCGAGUAGCGUGUGAAUUCCCGGAUGUGUUUCCGGCGGAGUUACCGGGAUUGCCACCGGAUCGGGAGAUCGAGUUCGUCAUUGACUUGAUUCCCGGAGCGGCGCCAAUUUCGAAGGCUCCAUAUAGAAUGGCACCGGCAGAGCUUAAAGAGUUAAAGGCUCAGUUGCAGAACUUGCUCGACAAAGGCUUUGUGAGGCCGAGCGUGUCACCGUGGGAAGCUUCGGUGUUGUUUGUGAAGAAAAAGAAUCGUACACUUCGACUCUGUCUGGAUUAUCACGAGUUGAAUAAAAUGACGGUCAAGAACAAAUACCCGUUGUCGAGAAUAGACGACCUGUUUGAUCAGUUGCAGGGGUCGCGGGUAUACUCAAAGAUAGAUCUUCAGUCGGGAUAUCACCAAUUGAAGAUCCGGCUGAAGAAUGUGCACAAAAUGAUGUACCGUACGCGGUAUGGCCACUAUGAGUUUACGGUAAUGCCGUUUGGGCUUACUAAUGCCCCGGCAGCAUUUAUGGACCUAGUGAAUUGGGUCUUUCGACCGCUAUUGGAUUAGUGCGUCGUGGUAUUUAUCGACGACGUGUUGGUGUAUUCACGGAGUGAGGAAAAACACGAGAAACAUUUGAGAACCGUGUUGCAAAUACUCCGGAACGAGAAGCUUUAUGCUAAACUGAAGAAGUGCGAGUUUUGGCUUUCAGAGGUAACCUUCUUAGGCCAUGUGAUUUUCGAGGGCGGAGUCUCGGUGGAUCCAAGAAAGAUUGAGGCGAUUCGAGAUUGGCCUCGCCCGACGAGUGUGGCGGAAGUCCAUAGUUUCCUCGGAUUGGCGAGCUACUAUCGGCAAUUUGUGGAGGGGUUUGCGAAGUUGACUACUCCUCUUACACGCCUUACACACAAAGGAGCAAGAUUCGUGUGGAGCGACGAUUGCGACCGAAACUUCCAAGAACUAAAGGAGAAAUUGACGUCGACCCCGGUACUUGCAUUGCCAAUGCCGGGAGAGAGUUUUGUAGUAUAUAGUGAUGCUUCCUAUAAUAGUCUCGGGUGUGUUUUUAUGCAAAAUAGGCGAGUCAUUGCGUAUGCUUCGCGCCAGUUGAAGAGCUAUGAGAAGAAUUACCCGAUACAUGAUCUCGAGUUAGCGGCGGUCAUUUUCACGCUAAAGCUAUGGAGGCACUAUCUUUACGGUGAGCAUUGUGAGGUAUAUACUGAUCACAAAAGCCUCAAGUACUUGUUCACCCAGAAAGAGCUAAACAUGCGGCAACGGCGGUGGUUGGAGCUGUUGAAAGAUUAUGAUCUUACUAUCCUAUACCACCCCGGGAAAGCUAAUGUGGUCGCCGAUGCGCUAAGUAGAAAAUCUGUUGAAAACGUGGCGACGGCAAUUACUAGUCAACCGUUAUUGCAGAAAGAAAUGCAACGGUUUGGAUUGGAAGUAGUGGCGCGGAGGUUCCGACCAUUUUGGCGACACUAGUGGUUCGACCGACCGUAUUGGAGCAGAUUAAGAGUGGCAAGUUGAUAAUCCAUAUCUCCAAAAGGUGCGGAAUGACAUUGACGGUGGACACGCCGGUGACUUUGGCGUGGGAUCUGACGAUGCACUUCGGUUCAGAAACCGGUUGUGUGUGCCCAAGGAUGACGAAAUCCGUAAGAUGGUGUUGCAAGAAACGCAUCAUUCCCCGUAUAGUUUUCACCCGGGCGGCACUAAGAUGUACAAAGACCUGAAAUUGCAUCAUUGGUGGCCGUGCAUGAAAAGAGACAUUGGGGAGUUUGUGGCGCAGUGUUUGACGUGCCAACAAGUGAAAGCCGAGCGUCGAUUUUCCGCGGGGAGGUUGCAGAGCUUACCAAUCCCCGUGUGGAAAUGGAAAGACGUAGCAAUGGACUUUGUGGUCGGAUUACCUCGAUCGUAACCCGAACAUAAUGCCAUAUGGGUAGUUGUGGACCGUUUGACGAAGUCGGCUCAUUUCUUGCCGAUCCACACCACGUGGGCAGGAGACAAGUUAGCACAAGUCUACUUGGAUGAGGUAGUGAGAUUGCAUGGGGUUCCAGUAUCGAUUGUGUCAGAUCGAGACCCCCGAUUUACUUCUCAUUUCUGGAAGAGCUUGCAGGAUGCUCUAGGCACGAGGCUCGAUUUCAGUACGGCGUUUCAUCCUCAGAGUGAUAGCCAGUCGGAAAGGACAAUUCAGAUACUCGAGGAUAUGUUGCGAGCGUGUGUACUCGAUUAUAGUGGAGGGUGGCAUGAGUAUUUGCCGAUGGCGGAGUUCGCUUACAAUAACAGCUACCAAGAAAGUAUAGCGAUGGCGCCAUUUGAGGCACUUUAUGGACGUAAGUGUCGCCCUCCUAUCCAUUGGAGCGAGAUGGGUGAAAGAGUCAUCCUUGGUCCGGAUGUGGUGCGAGAGGCGGAGGAGAAAGUCCGUCUUGCUCGCCAACGAUUGAUGACGGCACAAUCGCGACAACGAAGCUAUGCAAAUAAGAGUCGAAAGGAUUUGGAAUUCGCGGUUAGCGACCUUGUAUUUCUCAAGGUGUCGCCUAUGCACGGAGUGGAGCGGUUUGGCAUUCAGGGGAAACUUAGUCCCCGAUACAUAGGGCCAUACGAGAUUCUAGAGCGAAUUGGGCUGGUAGCGUACAAGUUAGCGUUACCGCCGAAGCUUGCGGGAGUGCACAACGUGUUCCAUAUAUCGAAUCUCCGCAAGUAUUUCCGUAACUCCUCACAUGUGUUGGAGUAUGAACCAGUAGAGUUACACGAGUAUGUCACUUAUGAAGAAUUCCCGGUGAGCAUUCUUGCUCAAGAGGAGCGAAAGCUACAGAAUCGGACUAUUCCGUAUGUAAAAGUGCAAUGGAGUAAUCACUCGAGGCGUGAAUCCACGUGGAAGCUCAAGAAGAAAAUGUGCGAGGUUUAUCCUCACUUGUUCGAUCAAGUGAGCUAAGCUACGUGUUAAGUUUUGCGGACGAAACUAAUUUUAAGGGGUGGGGAAUCUAACAUAUCACUUCCCCGUAAAUCGUGCCGAGUUCUGUCGAAGCGAACGAAACGCGGAGUGGAACAAGUUACAAUGGGUUCUAAGUGUUUUUGAACCUUGGUAUAGUGUAAAGGGACUCGAGAGAGUGAAACUGGAAAAUCUGGCCAAGUCCCAGAUUUUGGACUCUCGGGACCGGUCCCUGCAGGGAGAGACCGAUCCACGUACGCGUAGCCAGCCAAAAAGUGUGGAAAAUCGGCUAAGUCCUGAGAGUUGUGCUCUCGGGGACCGGUCCCUGCGGAGAGAGAUCGGUCCCCGUGAGCGAAAAAUGUCCCCAGCGGCUAAGUCCUGAAAAACCCACUCUCGGGGACCGGUCCCUACAGGGAGAGACCGGUCCCCGUAUGUGAAAUUUGCCCAGUGAAGGCUGAUGUGAAGAAUGGAAUUGAGAGGGACUAAAAUGCAAAGUCGGAUGGUGAAAGGUUAUAUGUGUGUGUGGGCAUGAGUUCUAGGGCUCAUUUCUCACACCCACAACAAAAUAUCUCCCUCUCUCUCUCUAAAAACCUUCUUCUCUCUCAUCUCCUUCUCUCUAGAGCUUGGACCAAGGAGGGCUUUUAGAGGAGAAAAGCUUGGAGAAGAAGCUUGUCUAGGUGGAAGCUAGCUUGUGCAAGACUUUUGUAGGAAAAGCUUGGACUCUAAGGUGAGUUUCCUUGUUUUCUCCUUAGGGUUUUGAGGUUUGCUUCUAGUUGAAGCAUCUAGGAGCCUCUAUGGUAGUUUUUCCCCAUAGUAUACAUGCUAAGGACCAUGAAUGGGGAAUAUGACAUUGUUGAGGGACCCAAAAUUGGGGUUUUUGGAUUUUGAGGUCAAAGCUUGGGUUUGAUCUCUUUUUAACCUAAUCAGUAGGUCGACGAACGCGUUGGUGCGCUCGGUUCGGCGAUACAACGAGCGUACGUGAAGAUAUCGAAGAAAGAAGCUAAAAUAGUACAGAUUGCCGUAGCUUGCGGCAUUGGACUCUAAAAAUUGCAAGAUUUGGCGCACGGCAUCCUUAUAACACUAAAAGGUGGGAGGUGCUAUCCGAAAACACCGAAUUUCUCUCUAUGUCUAUGUUACCUUAUUUGAGCAUAUUGAUUGUAACAUUCUUGCAUAUAGGGUAGUGUGAAAUAUAUUCUUGGUUGAAAUGCAUUUAGAUGCAUAAAGAAUAUGAGAAAUGAUAAUGAACCAAGUGAACCAUGUAUGAAAAGACCCUAUGUGCAUGUGAAUGUGAGAAAAGACUAUGACAAUAGUAAACAAAGGUGACAUCGACUAUAGUGACUCGAUUGGCAUUGAGAAAGAGAUUGGCUAAACAAUGUUUAACCUAGAGUGGCAUCAUGACCAUUGUGGUUCAAAUAUAGUGGCAUACGCAUGAUAUGGUGAUAACCUAUCAUCGGCAUUGAGGCUUUGUGCAUUGAGACAGGUUUGGCUAUGUCCUCAAAUUGAGGAUUGGAUCGUACUCACACAUUGGUUCUGGCUUGAGGGAGGUAGUUCCUCCUCAAGCGGUGUACUCCGGAGUGUAAACACCACGGGGAAGCACCCCGGCGAAGAUCCCUCGGGCGGUAGUGCCUUGUGCCUCCCCCUGUAGACGGGAUGUGUGGAUUGUGAGUUUAGGGUAAACCAAGAGUAACCCAGGAUGAUUGGGUAAAAGCCAUGGAAAAUGAGAAAGGACAUACAUGCAUAAUUAUCAUGUACUUGAUUAUUUAUCUAUCUGUGGACAGCUUUCUUGCAGGCAUUGUAUUAGUUGCAUUAGUGGGUUUGAUAUUCUCCUUUAUUGAAAUACAUAUGCCUAAAUAGACCUAGUGGGCGAGUCGGCGCGGUCGGCGGCCGAACCCACUGGGAACUUCUUUUAGUUCUCACACCACCACUAACCCUGCAGAUCCAUGCGCGAGCGGGGCUGCGAAGGAUAGAGGCAAGGGUAUCGCGCCGUAGAUAGCGGCCUCAGAGUUUAUAGGCAUACCCUAUGUUUUGUAUAUUCAACUUUUGUAUGUUGAACUAGUAAUGUAAAGAGAUGUAAUCAUGUAUUUUGGAUGAAAGCCAAUGUAAUCUAAAUGUAAAUGAAUGGAUAAGAAUGAAUGUAAAUGUAUAGUGCUUGUGUUUGAUUCAAAUGAAAUCAAAUGUCAUGUAUGUGGACGAAUGUUUAGUUUAAUUUCGAUGCUUUCACUGUGAUUUAGUUGUCGUUCGCCCUCGUGCAAACCUUGUAUAAUUGCGUUCAUUUGUAUUGAAUUGCUUGUCACUACAACAGAAUUAGGUUAUAGGGACACAUGUUUGGGACACUUUUGAGUAAGUGUCCCAUUUAUCCUAAAACUUAAAAAAACAUCUACUAAUGCCUAAAUAUAAAGUCCAAUCCAACCAAAAAUAAAAGAUUACUCUACUAAACUCACCACACCUAGUCCAUUUGGCCCGAUUACAAACAGAAAAAAAAAAAAAGAAAAAUCAAUUACCAUCUUUUCUUCUCUCUUCACUCAAUCCACUGAAAUUCUAGACGAAGAGCCGUUCCUGUCGUCCUCCUCCGCCACCGCAGCCAACGAGAUAGAGUUUCGGCAGUUGCUAAAUGCUUAAAUAAGUGUUGGUAAAUUAGCAGCACUCUUUUAGGUUAUAGCGACACUCUUUAACUGUCACUAUAUACCUAGCGACUCCACAUAUAGCAACACUUUUUAAAAGUGUCGGUAAUUUUAGCUAGCAGCACUUUUUUGACAUGUACCUAUAUUUAAAAGUGUCGCUAUAGACCGUUUUUGUUGUAGUGUGUAUUAUACAUGUUGUUGGAGCCUUGGACGGACAGGAAAGGUCCUGUCUGUUCGGCGUCUGUUUGCGUGCCCGAACCGACCAAAUUGGCGGCUCCGGGGCGUGACAGAAGCCCUCCACUCCUUCUCUUUGGUUCUCUUUGAAUUUUUGUGGGGAUUUUUGAGGUUUAAUCACCUCUUUUGCUUCCUUUUUGUAUCUUGGUGGCAUUUCCACCAUGGGAGAAGGCUUGAAUCUAGGAGAAGAGCUUGUUGGAGUAGAGAUCUUCAACCCUAGGUCAUUGCAAGCCUGGUUGGGAGCUUCUAAAGAGGUUAGUAAUAUGUUUCCCCUCUUUGAUCCAUGUUUUGGUGGAUUUUACAUGAUAAAAACCUAGAAUGUGAAAUCUAGGGUUUAUUUUAGGAAUUUUUGAUUAGAAACUUUUGGAGCUCAAUUGAUUGGUUUAAAACCUUUAAUUGUUUAGGUUGGCUUAAAAGGGUUCUAGCUCUCAUUUAGAGAUUGAGAGAGAUUUUCACCAUACAAGGUGAGUUUUUGCCCUUUUCUUGGGUUGGUUAAUGUUUGAUCUUAUGGGUGUUCGUUCGUUGCGUUUAACUGUCUUAAUAUUACCUUUAGGGAGUUAGGAGGCUAGUGGACACCUUCUUUUGCGCAAACGAAAGGGUUGCGAGCAGUCUUGGUGGGUUUGACCUCUCACCGAAAUGAGAAAAAUUUCACCUAUGUUAUUGUAAUUGUUGUAAAAUAGAAAAUCAUGCAUAUUCAUGCUAGAUAGAGCAUAUGUGAAUUUUAGAAUGCUUAAAAUGCAUAUGUUAUGUAUAAUGAAAUUGUACCUCUAUGUAGUAGAGAGAUUAGUGCAUUGUGAUUAUGCAUAUAAAUAGCAUUCUUAUAUGUGGCUUGGGACCAUGAUUCAUGUAGUAAAAACAACAAGUAUAAUAUGCUCUUGGACUUAGAACUCAUGUUUGACAUAGGAGAAAACAUAAUGUCAUAGAGGGGCAUUAGACCUGAAUUAUGUUUGACAUAGUAAACCUAAUGUCAUGAAGUGGCAUUAGAUGAAGUAAAUGGAUUGAACUCUACAUUGUGACAUAGAGCUAGACCUUCGUGGUCACUAGUAUUUAUACCAUGUUUUAGACAUAAUGACAUUGGACUUGAGACGGACAUUAACGCUUGCUUGCCAUUGUGCUUAUUCGCAUAUGCUUGUGAGGGUCGUUCCCCACAAGCCGGUACUCCGGAGAUAGCUAUUGCGACAUAAGCUCACUCGUUCGAGAUUGGGUGCCGAAAUGGGAUGCCGUUGGGGAGGCUCAUUCCUAGGGUAGGAAUGUUGACUACUAUGGGGCCAUUAGGCACAGCGCAAGCCGGACUACACUUGUGUAGGUCCUAUAUGAUUGGAACAAGUUGAACUAUAAUGCAAAAGUGGACUUUAGAGAACACAUAGUAAACAAUGACAUUUUACUAGUUGUGCUUGUGGACAUCGUGUUGUUUAUACUUAUACACAUUCAUGUUAGAAUAGCAUUUACACUUAUGCAAAUCCAUGCUAAGUAGAGGCAUAGUAGUUUACAUGCUCUAUUUAUGUUUAGCAUACAUGUUGUUCAUUCUAUUGUUAGAACUUACUGCUUUUACCUUAUAGCCUAGUGGUGCAUUUUCGCUGAGGUCAGCAAUUGGCCACUUGGAACUAUUGUUUAAUAGUUCUCAGGCCCCCUGUUUUGUUAUUUUUCUUACAGAGCCUUCCACUCAGGGAGAGGCUCGGGAUCGCGGGAAAUGAAUCGCCUCGAGCUAGUUAGCAAGGAAUUUUACGAUAGGUGGUUCACCUCUUUUUUUGUUUUUAUUUUGGAGAGGAUAAGAGUUUUUGUACCCAUGUAUAGAGACCACCAUUUUUGGAUAUUGUAGCACUUGUAUUUGAGACUUGGUGAUGUUCUACCUUAUGUUUUACUUUGGUGGAUUAGUUCUCUUUUCAUUCUACUUGUCAUUAGAAUCUAGUUGUACAUGUGCUCUGAUAUCUCUAGAUACUUGUUAUUUGUUGUUUUAACUACAUUAUUGUUGUAGACGCCUUAUAUGUGUAGGCAUAUGGCGGGUAUGGGCACGCACCGGGCGGGCCUCUACCUGGUCUCGGGGCGUGACAUAGACAGUUGAUUCGAAAGGGUUUUGUAGCCUUCUUAGCCAGUAUUAUUGUGAGUGACAGGGUUAUUCCUGGGAUUGACGACAUUCCAGUGGUACGGGAGUUUGGCGAUGUGUUUCCAGCUGAGUUGCCAGGUAUGCUACCUGAUAGGGAAGUUGAGUUUGUGAUAGAUCUUGUUCCUGGGACUACCCCUAUCUCAAAAGCACUCUAUAGGAUGGCACCCGCUGAAUUAAAAGAGCUGAGAGCAUAGUUGCAAGAUCUGUUAGAUAAAGGCUUCAUCAGACCGAGAGUAUCACCCUGGGGAGCACCAGUUUUAUUUGUUAAGAAAAAGGAUCGAUCCUUCCGUUUGUUCGUAAACUAUCGGGAGAUUAAUAAAGUCACAAUUAAAUAUAAGUAUCCGUUGCCGAGAAUUGAUGACUUGUUCGAUCAACUUCAAGGAUCGAAGGUCUAUUCCAAGAUUGAUUUGCAGUCGGAAGAUCAUCAGCUUAAAAUCAAAUUUGAAGAUAUUUCUAAGAUAGCUUUCCGGACACGGUAUGGUCGUUACGAGUUUACAGUUAUGCCGUUCGGGCUUAUUAAUAUCCCGGCAGCCUUUAUGGAUUUAAUGAACCGUGUUUUCAAGCCUUAUUUGGACAGGCAUGUUGUAGUAUUCAUCGAUGAUAUUUUAAUUUAUUCCCGAAGUGACAAGGAGCAUGAACAUCAUUCGAGAUUAGUGUUGCAAGUACUUCAGGAAAAGAAAUUAUUCGCUAGGUUGAAGAAAUGUGAAUUUUGGCUUCGGGAGGUAGCAUUCUUGGGACAUGUGAUUUCAGAGGCUGGGAUAACUGUGGAUCAUAAAAAGAUUGAAGCAAUAAAGGAAUGGCCUAAACCGACUAGUGUGGUCGAGAUUCGAAACUUUCUUGGAUUAGUAGGGUACUACCGGAGGUUUGUUGAGGGAUUUGCUAAGUUGUCUACUCCCCUCACGUGGCUUACACAUAAAGGAGCUAAAUUUGUGUGGAACGAAAUAUGCGAAAGUUUUCAGGAAUUGAAAGAACGGUUAACGACCGUCCCGAUUUUGGCACUACCGGUUACCGGAGUGGAUUAUGUGAUUUACAGUGUUGCGUCGCUGAAUGGGUACUUCGACCCGAAGUCGGUACAGUGGUGCACGCUCGGUGACAUCUUUUUACCAUUUUUCUGUUAUUAUCCUGCAUAUAUGUUAUGUUGAGCCUAGCACCUUUGUUAUUCCUUUUACGCUCUACUUGGUUGUUUUCAUGUCUAGCAUCAUGAGUAGGAGUAGAGCAGGCUUAUGAUUACAUGUGAGAUUGGUGACCUAGAUGGUUGGUUCUUGUAUCUCGUGCUGUGACCUAUUCUGUCGGUUUACUACAUCUAUUAUCAUGAUCUAAUUGGUCGGUUGGACUACUUGGUGACCUACACGGUCGGUAUACCUUGAGGGGUAGAAUUGUAGGCUAGUUGCCGAUGGUUGGCUAUUGAGCAUAUUAGUAUCGAUCGCCACUGCUCGUACGUAUUUCACGAACACCAGCGGUCUGAUCCACCGCAAGAGGAUGUUCUUUUUCAAAAAAGUGAUUGGGAUUGUCAGCCCGUGAGCCCAAGAGCUUAUGUUGGGGCAAUAUGCUUUCAGACCCAAGAGCUUAUGCUGGGGUCAUUUACAGGUUAAAGCAGUUGUGGCACAGGCCUGAGGUCUACGGACCGAUAGGGCAGGUUUCAUAUUGGGUAUUUUGGACUUAUCGUCCCUUUGCUGCAUAUAUACAGUAGCGGUAGUUAUUCAUUUAUACAUCUUGUUCCUUUAUUUAUCAUUGCUACUGUAUUACCCUUACCCAUAUCUUUAUUUAUCCUUCUUGACUGGUGAGUACUCUCGCCCUCAUCGGCUUGCGGUACCCACUGGGAGGGGAGAUAUGUGUACAUGUUCUCACCUCUCACCCUCCUUUCGGGUGACGUCGCGGGUCCGAGUUGGGACGGUUCGUGAGGUGCGCAGCUUAGCAUUCGAUAGAGCUCUCGGCCCGUCAUCUUGGUUAAACUCUCAAAUUUGUCUUAUAAUAAUUGACUUAGACAGUAAUUAUGGUUCAGUGUUUUACUUUAAUUGGAUAAUUGGGAUUUGGUGAAUAUAAUAAAGAACUUGUGGUUUUUAUGUGAUGAAAAUAAUUUUCUACCCCUCGUGGAACCGUGUUUUAAAAAAAAAAAAAGAUUUCCGUGUGGGAAACGAAUUUAAAAAGGUUUUGCAUGAUUUUCAUGAUUCUUAGUGCUUCAAAAUAAGUUUCCCGGUAGGAAAUAUUUUAAACUAAUAGAUGUGGAUGUGAAUAUCUGUGAUUAAAUGAAUGGUAAUUGUGAUGUGGUUUAUGUAUGUGAAUGUUCAUACAGUUAUGGUCGUAUCUUGUACAUGUGCGACGUCGUGCAAAUACAGGGGAGACUCUGUCCGUGUGAACAAUAGAUUCCCUAUAUUUGUGGCGGAUCUGGCAUACCCUAGGAAUCAAGGUUUUUUUAAAAAAAUUGGGCACUUCCGCAUUGAUUUUUAAAUAAAAAACGAGCAUGAAGUCGCGUAAGCCAACUCUGUAGUGCCGACUUGUGGAGAGCGACCCUCACAAGCUUGUGCGAAUGAGCACAAUGGCAAGCAAACAUGAUCCAUAGUAUAAAGUUCUUGGUCGUAAGGUCUAAAACAUGGUAUGUCCACUAGUGACCCAAAAGUCAGAUUCUAUAUCAUAAUGUUAAGUUCUAGUUAUUUAACUAAGUCAUGUACAACAACAUUAAGUUCAUGCUAGCUACUGUCAUAUCAAUGCCAUAUUCAGCUCGUCUAUACAAGUAUACUAAAUAUCAUGUAAAGUAUGCUACACAAGUAUGCUAAACAAGUUUAAUGAACAACUUUCUCUACUAUAUAGAGGUAUAACUUUGCCAUAUGACAUAUGUAUAUUUAAUACAUCCAAAAAUUCGUUUAUAAUGCAUCUAAGAAUAUGCAUGAAUUCCAAUUUUAUAACAUUAAAGAAGACAAAGGGGGAGUUCACCCAUUUCAGUGAGGUCAAACCCACAGGAUAUGUAAGAUAAUGAAUCCUCGACGCGUGAAACUGAACAUCGGUCAAAGUUGACCAAAGUGCGGAGUUGAUCGCUUCGGGACGCUUAGGAAAAGUCUGAAUGCGUCAAAAUGACUUCUAAGGGUCAAGAGGGGCCUUAGUGAGCAGUUGAGAGACAUUUCUGCAGUUUUUGCAGAAAUGGUGCUCACGGGGUCCGGACCCUGUAGCCGAAAUCAGCCAGUAAGGGCAAUGCACAAAUUAGCUUGUGUGAGGGGUUUUAUGCAAUUGUGUGCAAGUGGGGGCUAUAUGAGUGUGAAUGGCACUCAUCUCUCUCACUUUCCGUCACAUUUACUACCAAAGAGGAAACCCUCUCUCUCUCUCUCUCUCCUAGGGGUGGAUCAAGAGAAGAGGUUGGUGGAGAGUGGUGCAAGGAAGUGAAGCUUCUUCCUUUUCUUCUUCCUUGGCUUAGGAGGAAAACUUGCUUGAGGUGAGCUUCAUAAACCCUAAUGGUAGAUUGUUGGGGUUUGGCUUAAUUACUCUAGAAUUGAUCUAAAUAGGAACCCUAGAUGGUGCUAAGUGGUUUAUUGCUAGAAUCAUGAGUUGGUUUGAUGUAUUCUCGCAAUAGUGAGUUUUAGGAUUUCUAAAUGGGGUUUUGCCAUAUGUUGGGGUUAGAUGUAAAUUAACCUUAUGGAACCCUAAUUGAAGGUGUAACGGACACUGUGGGCAACUUGAAUUGAAGUUCCUACGGACGUGCGGCGAGCUAUCGAAUAAAGUACUGUUUUCAGUUCGUUUGCAUGGGGUUGAGCCGAAUCGUCAUCCAUAAAUCGCGAAACUAGGGUUCUAGCAUCACGGCAUCACCAAAAGGUGGAGGGUGCUAUCCGAAGCAGUUGAACUUCUUUCUAUGUCCAAGUUGUAUUGUUGAUCAUACAUUUCAUAUAUAUAUUGUUAUCAUGCAUUAUAGGAUAUGUUGUGUAGUUGUAUUUCAAUUACUUGCAUGCUUCCAUGGUAGAAAUAACAUUGUGAGUUGAGCACAUGAUUUAGUGGAUGCAUGAGGAUUGGGUUUUGACAUGGAAUCCUAUAGUGCUAAGAACAAAAGAUGAAUUUGAACAAGUAAAUGACAUAGAAGAGUGGCAUUUGGAACUAGUGUAGUAGAAACACUAUGACAUGUUUUGGGAUUAGUGUAGCAGAAGCACUAUGACAUGAACAUAGGGAUAGAAGAUUUCCCGAGUUGUCGAUAUGUGGCAUUUGGAAUUAGUGUAGUAGAAGCACUCUGACCUUGGCAGAAGGGGUAUCCUGCAGUUGAGAGAAAUGGAUCAUACUCACAUGGUCUGUUUUUAGCUUGGCGGUGGUCGCUCCACCCAAGCAGUGAGCUCCGGAGUUGUCACACCAUGGGUUAACGUAAUUACCCAGCAGGCAAUUUCGAGUGUGCGUAGCGCAAAGUCUCCUCACCUAUGGGAUUUGAGAUGUGAGUCGGGACGUAACCUUGGAGAUAGCCAAAACGAUUGGGUGAUAAGCACAGUACCAUGAUAGUAGAUUUCAUUGCUAUGUAGAUACUUCAUUCAUUCAUACCAUGUUGAUUGAGACAUAGUACCAUAAUAGUAGAUUUCAUUGCUAUGUAGAUAUUUUAUUUAUACCAUGUUGUUGAGGCAUAGUAGUAUGAUAGUAGAUUUCAUUACUAUGUUAGCAGAUUUCAUUAUCAUAUUAUAUUUCUACUUAUGCAUGCCUAGACCUAGUGGGAAGAUCGGCGGAGUCGGCGGCCGAACCCACUGGGAACUAUUAUUGGUUCUCAUCCCACUUUGUUGCAGGGCCUAGCUCGAGAGGACCAAGCGAGGAUCGUGGUAAGGGUAUAGCGCCCUAGUUAGUAGCCUUCCUUUAUGCAUUAGAGUACCAUGUACAGUUGAGAGACAUGAUGUAUAUUGGGUGAGGUUACUUUUGGAGAGUUGUACAUGUAUUAUGAGAAGAAUAUGUAAACCAAAUGAUGUAAAUGAUUGAAUGAAAAUGUAAUAACUAGUAUUUCUCUCUUGCUCUUGCUUGUUGUAGACUCGCAUGAUUCAUGUAUGUUGUUUAUGUUUACUCGGGCAACUAAAUGUACAUGAUUGAUGUUGUUUAGCCUUGGGUGGACAGGGGAGGUUCUAUCCGUUCGGCGUCUGUUUGGCGUACCCGAACCGACCAAAUUGGCGGUUGCGGGGCGUAACAGGAUACCCCUUGAACUUCUUCGUUUGCUCGAAAGAAGUUGCCUUCUAGACUCCUAGCAACCUAACAAAAAUUCUAAAUAGGUUAGGAGCUUCUAACAAUCCUCCCACGAAAUUCCUUAACACCCCGUUUGGAUUGGGUACAAGAGGGGGGAUAAGGGGGUUAUCCCCCCUCUUGUACCCAAAUAGGAAAAUUGGGGGGGUGGGAACACUUGUUCCACCCCCCCGAUAUAAGAAAAGAGAGAGAGACAGAUUUUUAUUUUAAAUUUUAAUUUUUAAAAUUUAUAAUUUAUAAUUUUAAAUUAUAAAUUUUAAAGUUUAAAUUUUAAAUUUGAUAUUUUUAAAUUUUAAAUUUUAAAUAUGAUAUUUUUAUCUUUCAAAUUUAAAUUUGGUCCUAAAUUUAAAAUCAGAUAUUUAAAAUUAAAAUUUUGAAAAUUAAAAUUUUAAAUUUAAUUUCAAAUUUUAAAAUGUAAAAGUUAAAAUUUUCAAUUUAAAAUUUUCAGUUUAAAAUUUUAAAUUCAAUUAUAUGAGUAAUAUCAUUAUUUUCUAUUUAUAACUACCAACUAUUCCACCUUAUACUCAUAUUUUCAUCCAAAUACAAUUUUUCUAGUUCCAGCUUAUACUCACAUUUUCAUCCAAACAAAAAAAUACCCAUGUUCCUACAAAAACCCAUACUUGUACCUAUCCCCGGUAUAACUAGUUCUUGCUUAUACCCGAACCAAACGAAGCAUAAAUAUCAACCCAAAAAUAGGUAGAAAAUAUCUUAAAUAGAGGAAAACUUUGUCCAAACUUUAAUUAAGGUUGGGAUGUUUCAAUUCCAACCUAAAGAAGAAUUUAACAACCACCAAUUAGGUUCCAAAAGUCUCAUAACCAGAAAUCCCAAAGUAUAUCUCUUAAUUCCACAAAUUCUCCCAAAUUCACAUUUAAAAGGAGUAAUUAGAUUACUAACCUUCAAUAGAGCUUCAAACCAAGCUAGACUUGAGCUAAGGUUGGAGUUAGAUCCUCAUAAACACUCUCUUCUACAGUUCCAAGAUUCCUCCAAGAAUCACAAGCAAGCUUCCAAGGAAAAGAUAAGAAAAGAUUGAUCAAUUGCUUCAAUUCCACAAGAAUUGAGAGGAAUUCUAAAGAGAGAAAGAGAAGGAGCUCACCUCUUAUCUUCUCUGGUUCCAGCACAAGAAGAAACAGCUGCGGAGGGGCAGUUGAGGAUAAGCACUAAAGCACAAUUACAAAUAGACCCCUCAACAACUCACAAAUAGCAACUACACAAAAUACAAAUUGUAGCAUUGAGUACCGGCAGUCGAAUUGGAGUACCGGUACCCAGUACUCAGUCUAGCAAAACCUGAGCGCUGGACAAUCGAUUUUAUACAGUGUACCGGUAUCAGCCUGAUGCAGCUCAGCCCAGUACCGGUACCCAUCGACUCAGUAUUGGUACUCACUGCCCAACUCCUCAAACCCAAGAGCAGCACAUUCUGGCACUCUAUAGGAUUCCGGUACCCCACUCAGGUACCGGUACUCAACACUUAAAACCUGUAAUUUGCAGAUUUUAGUGUUAGUAUGUAAGGACUGAGAAUUUGGCAGUGUAGCUGACUCUCCGUUGACGAUGUUUUUAUGUGUAUUUUAAUUACAAAACACUCGUCAAGUUUCGAGAAAAAACGAGUUAGAAUGGAGAUUUUAUGUGAUCUUUACUUUUCACUUAAAGUGAAUAGUAACCUGGGUUUACGGAGAGGCCAUUAUGUAGAGAUGGCUUCCGGCGCGUAUCGAACUCCGUUCUUGGUGAUCCAAUAGCUCAUUCUCAAUGGUUCAACUGUCCUGGAACCAUUGGCGCUGACGGAUUUUAGGUUGACGCACGAAUUUCGAGGUAACUGGUUAUACAUAUAUUCUAUAUAUUUGUGUGCGGUUUUGCCUAUUGGAGAGAGGAUGGGUUUCGUCACGAAUCUACAACCAAACCAGGCAAAACAAAAUCGUGGAUUUGUUGUCUUUAUCGUGCUGAUCACACUGGUAUGAUUCGUUCGCAAAUCUGACGGACAUAUCAUCUGAUAUUGCACGUUGAUCGAGAAUGGGUUAUUAACGGCAAAACAGAGAUUUUGCGAAAAGCCCUACAUUUUAUAUACCGUUUUGCGUGAAAUUGGAUAUGGGGUUGUGUUCGCGCGUUUUACUCACGCUGUGAGGGACUCAAAUAAAAAUUUCUAAUUUUGGGGGACUAUUGUGCAUUUUUAUCUUAUGUUUAUAUAGCCCAUCUAGGGUUUGCACCAUGCAAACCCUAACCCUAGUCCCCAGCUGACCCCCAGCCGCUUCUACUACCUCCUCUCUGUGCGCCGCGCGCGCCCCGCGUGCCCCGGCUGCCUGCGCACCCCGCCGGCCACCAAAGAAGGCUUCUCCCUCUUCUCCUCCCUUUCCAUCUCUUUCUCUAUCUUUCUCUCUCUCUCUCUCUCUCUCUUUCUCUCGGGUUGGAGUGGAGGUCCGAGACUGCAUUGCCUCUCUGUUCCCUACCGGCGUCGCCCCGACCCCGUCGAGGCCUUCCCCGGCGGUCGCCGCCACCGCGCUACAGCCACCCUGCGGCCAAAUUGUGCCAACUCGGGCCGAGGGAGCUUCAGCUCCUUUCCCUCGUGCUGCCGCCGCCUAGGGCCGGCCAUGCCGCCUUCCUGCAACCUUCGGUGACCUCCCCCACCGGUCGUCGUCGUUCCUGCUAGCCGCCGCCGCCGCCCUUGACUGCUUGUAGCUGCCCUAGAUCUGCUCGGACCGAGGCCGGGUUCUUUCGCUUCCCUCCCGCCGCCGCCGCCUGAGGCCACCCCUACUGUCUCCCCCGGAGCCCCGGCGACCUCCCCUGCCGGCCGCAGCCGCCUCGAGCGCCGCCUUGCCGUUGCUGCCAAACCGCGGCCAGCCCAGGCUGGUGCGGUCGUGCCCUGCAGUGCCGCCCUCCCCAGCCGCCGGCCGCCGUCCCCGCCCCUUCGAUCCCAGAGAGACCCCGUACUACUCCUCCGUCCACCCCGACCCUCGUUGUGGCCGAAGAAGCUCGCCAAGCCCGAGCUUUUUCCUUGCCGGCUCAGUUGCACCGCCGCCGCCACCACUGUGACAUCCCAAUAGUCCUACAUCAGAUGGGAAUGGGGUUAUUAUUGGAUUUAUAAGAGGACUCCACCCUAGUAAUAAUAACUGGGCUUAAGCAUUUUGGGCUGGUGGUUUGGGCCCAACGAGUUAUUAUUGCUAACAGGUCAAGUUGUUACAUUUGGUAUCAGAGUCAGUUCACUAGCCGGAAGUGUGAGAUGAGUUUUGGCUGAGCUAGCGUCGCAACGACAGACUUAGCCAUGGUCGGUGAUUGACAGCUAAGUUAGGGUCGGAAUGACAAAAGCUAGUGAGAUAAGUCUCACAUCGCCUGGUGAUCUUGGACUGUAUGCGUGUUUAGGGCUGACGGGGACGUCGGGGCCUAAAUAGGGGGAGUAUGUGACACCUUAAUAAUCCCACAUUGGAUAGUUAUGGCUAGAUGUUGGAAUAUAUAGGCUUUGAUUGGGCUAGACAUAAUAACUACGCUUAAGCAUUUUGGGCCGGUGGUUGGGCCCAACAAGUUAUUGUUGCUAGUGGGCUGGGUCAUUACAUUUGGUAUUAAAGCCAGUUCAUCAGCCGGAAGUGUGAGAUGAGUUUUGGUUGAGCCAGUAUCGCAAUGACAGACUUAGCCAGGGUCGGUGAUUGACAGCUAAGUCAAGGUCGGAAUGACAAAGGCUAGCGAGAUAAGUCUCACAUCGCCUGGUGAUCUUGGACUGUCUGUGUUUAGGGCUGACGAGGACGUUAGGCCUAAACAAGGGGAGUUUGUGACAUCUCAAUAGUCCCACAUCGGAUAGGAAUGGGGUUAUCAUUGGGUUUAUAAGAGGACUCCACCCUAGUAAUAAUAAUUGAGCUUAAGCAUUUUGGGCCGGUGGUUUGGGCCCAACGAGUUAUUAUUGCUAACGGGCCGGGUUGUUACAACCACCGCCUUUCGCCGCCGGUCGGCGCGAGCCCCGGUCUCCCCACGUCGGCUGCAGCCGCCUACCGCCGGUGCACUCGCCAUCAAGCCACUGCCAGCCGUGCCCUAGCUCCAACUAUUUUGGUAAGCUUAGUUAGAGUCUUUUGGUUGCUGUUCUGGGUUGUGCAUGCUUUUCCGUCGAUCCGAGGCUGUCCCAAUGCCUCCGAAGGUGAGCACGGUGAUCGCUGGUCAGUGCUGAUCACAGUGCUCACCUCACUUUGGAUCAACGAUUUCCGAAUCGACUUUUUCGGCGUAGUUUUCCCGGAGUGCACACAGUUCGCAAAAUUUGGGUCGCUCCCGUGCCUCUCACAGUGAGACGUUGUGCUCCGGAUUGUGAGCACGGCCUCUAGCACGCCGAGACCUGUCAGUACGUGUAACAUAUCGAAAUAUCGGUACGCGAAUGUCGAACUUUAGUCAAAAUAACGAAAAUGCUGAAGGCAUCAAGAAGAGCAAAAGUGCCUUAUAAGAGGUCUUCGAGAGCAAGCUGGAGCAAGUCUGCAAGACUGCAGCCUUGGUGCUCUAGGGGACCGAUCCCUAAGUUAAAUGACCAAUCCCCGUACGUGUGAAAAAUGGGCAAAGGCCCAUUCUGUGCUGGAUUGCUCUCGGGGACCGGUCUCUCGAGCAAGGACCGGUCCCCGUAGCUGGUGUUUGCGCAGGUGCCCAAUGCAACCGGUCCCUAGGCGGGAGGGACCGGUUCCCGUAAGUGUAUCUAGCUGAAGGCUCUCGGGGACCGGUCCCUCAUCGGGAGGACCGAUCCCUCUGCGCGAAAAGUGCCCAAGCAGGGCAGUGUGAGAGACAAUAAGUUGGGGGGCUUAGUUGUAAUUGUUACAAUAUGUUAUUAGCCUAGCCCUUCUCCCUUUCACAGCCAUCACCUAUUUUCUCAUUUUUCUCUUAUUUCUCUCUCUCUCUCUAGAAGGAGAAGAAGAAGAAGGAAGAAGAAGAAGGAGAAGAAGAAGUAGAAGCUUGGAGAGGUGGGUUUUGGUGGCUUUGGUAGUUCUUAGAGCUCUCCUACAAGAAGGAUCUUGGGAUAGCUCUUGGCCAAGGUGAGUUUCUUGCAAGUAGAACUCUAGGGUUUGAUUUAAAACCUUAGGUUUUGGGGUUUUGGUCUCUUUAGAGGCUUUAGAGGUGUAAUAGAGCCUUGAACACCAUGAAAACAUGGUUUUCUCAAGGUGCUCUUAUGGUGGAUUGUUAGAAUCCAAAGUUGAUGCCCUAGGAAUGGUCUAAAUAGUUUGGAAACAAGAUUAGAGAGCUUCCUAGGUGAUUCUAAGCUAUCUUUUGCUUAGGGAUAAGAUCAAUCUAGGAGAAAAUUGAAUAUGGCAUUGUUAGGGCAUGGAAAUUGAGGCUUUUGCCCUAUAAUUUUUCUAAGGCAAAUUGACCUUUUGGAAACUUAAUUGGGGGUAGUCCCGAUGCGUUGGACAAUUCCGUUUGACGUUACGAAAAUGUCUAAAUAUAGUUUGUGUAUAUAGGGCCUAAUUUGACACUAUUUUGGUUAUAGGAUGCGGAUUCGGCGUUCGUAAAGUUCGGGAGUCAUCACAUUCCUUAUCUACUACCACUCAAGGUGGGAGGUGCACGCUGGAAUCGUUGGAUUCCCUUCUAUGUCCAUUUUCACCUUUGUUGAGCAUAUUUAUAUAUAGAUUCAUUCAUGCAUGUAGGGUAAUUUUACAUGUGAAACUUGAUUAGACAUCAUUGCAUGCUCCUAAUGUAGUUGGACAUAGAGAAUGAUAGAAUCAUAAUGGACAUGUAUGUUGAGACCCUAAACUUGCAUGAAUGUGAGACUUGGACUUGGACAAUAGUAAAUAAAGGUGAUAUUGACAUUAGAGAUAUGAUUGGCAUCGAGAGAUGAAUUGUUAAACAUAGUUUAACCAAAUAUAGCAUUAUAGCAAGAAUGACCUAGAGAGUGGCAUGAAUAAAUAGGUAGAAACCUAUUAUGAUAGUGGCAUUGUGGCUAGUGGCUAUACAUUCCCUAAGUGGGGAUUGGAUCGAUACUCACGAUAAGUCUUGGCUUGAGGGUGGUAGCUCCCCCUCAAGCGGUGUGUUACAGAAUAGUCACCACGGGGAGCGCGUCCCCGAAGACGGUCCCUCGGGUCUUGUAGUGCUUAGAGCCUCCCCGAUUAAAAGGGAUUUUGGGUUGUGAGUUAUUGGGGUUAACAAGGUUAACCGGUAAGAUUGGGUAAAAGCCAAAGUAAAAUCAUGGAAAGGCAUGCAUGCAUAUUCAAUAUUGCUUCGAUUAUAUAUCCACUGACAUCUUUCUUGCAGGCAUACUAUUAGCAUUAGCAUUGAUUAUAAUUUCCUUUUCUUUGAAAUACUUAUGCCUGAAAUAGACCUAGUGGGUAAGUCGGCGAGGUCGGAUGCCGAACUCACUGGGAACUUCGUUGUAGUUCUCACACCACUAACCCUACAGGUCCGAGUGCAAGCGAGGCGGCGGAGGACUGAGGCAAGGGUAUCACGCCAUAGUUAGUGGCCGCCGGAGUUUAUGCAUUUAGUCAUUCCCUUUUGUUUACGUGUAUUAACUUUCUUUUGUUGAUUUAUAGAUGUAAAAGUUGAAAACAAUUCAUGUAUUUUGGAGAAUGAUUAAGAUGUAAAUGGAAUUAUGUUGAAUGGAAAAAGAAUGUAAUAGUUGUAGCUCACUUGUAUUUGGUUUAAAUUUAAUCAAAUAUCAUGUAUUGUUGUAUGCUUAGUUUAGAGCUUUCGCUUUCGUUUUUGUUUGCCCUCGUGCAAGCCUUGUAUAAUUGCAUAUCUCUUUGUUGAUUGCUUAAUUAUACUUGUUGUUGGAGCCUUGGGCGGACGGGGGAGAUGCUGUCCGUUCGGCGUCUGUUGACGUGACCCGAACCCGACCAAAUUGGCGGGGAUUGGGGCGUGACAGUAUGUGUUUCAGCUGACCUCGGAAAUCCUCGGUUUGCAGUAACGAGCCAUAAAACCACCCUAUUUAUAUAAAAUAAUAGGAUUUUAUGUAAAUAUAGGGACUUUAUAUAAUUUUGCAUCUUAUGGCUACUAUAGGCAGUAUGUUUAUGUGGUAGGUGACCUUUGGACUAAUCGUCCAAGGUCCAAUAGCCUUCGCAAAAUCGAAUGUCGAUUUCGGUGCGUUUUUCGGCGAAUUUCGCUGGCGAAAUGGGAUUUCUGUUCGGACUUCAUCCGAUGAUGUUUGUUGCCCUGAGUUGUGCUGCUGAGCCUUGUCAUCUAGUCACCAUCAUCAUAUCGUGAGUUCGGAGAUGAUGGAUGAGCGACGGUGAGUUCCGAUGUCGAAAUUGACACUUCCGGGAAUCCGGAUUCAAAUACUUAUCCGGCGAUAAUUGUUUGGUUGUGCAAUCUUGUGUUUGCUGCCAAGACAUCCAAAUUGAUGUGUUUUGUGGCAGCGGGUGACUCGUGACAUGAGUCGGUGAGUUUCGGGACACUUAGUAGGUCCUGACGGAGUCCAGGUGUGAUUUUCUGGACUUCCGGCGAGUUACGGUGAUCAAUUUUAGGAAACCAAUUUCGAGAAUUUGUGUGGGGUUUGUGAGUUAGGUAUUUUGGAUUGGUGGUUGGUUACUGACACGGUAGAUCUUCGUAGGUCCGGUUAACUUGUUGUGCACCCAAGUUUCCUACGUGAUUGUGACAGGUGAGUGCUUCGAGAUGAUAGUCGGCGAGAUUGUUUCGUUUUCCUCUAUUCUUCUAUAUCAGUAUCAUAGUCUCUACAUGUCAGUUGCUUUUGUUUAUCGUUCGUUCAUCUAUAUCUCGUUGCUUGCAUGAUGAUAAUUGUUGAUAGACAUGUAGAGUAGGCUUGCAUACAUAGUAUAUCUGUGGACCUUGGGUCCAGGCAACACAUUGACUCUCUCGUCAUGUGUUUUGAUCUAGUUGAUCGUGGUUCGGCGUUGUACGCCUUUGUAUCUAGCUUCGGCCAAGGCAUCGGCUUUCGGCCGGUUUUCUUAUUGAGCAUAUCAGCAUGAUUUACUCACAGCACUUAGGUGUAUUCAUUAACACCAGGUCGGUUUGGCCGCCGACCAGGGGUGUACUUAUCCGGAUGCAUCGUUGAAUGGACGCAUGAAUUAGGUCGUUGUAUGUAAUGUGACAGGCAACGCUUGAGGUCUGCAGAUUAUGGCAGGCACUAGUUGGGUACAGUUUUGGGUUUGAUUACCUUGAGGCAUGCUCAGUAUUGUAUUCUUACAGUAGCAGUUCUUAUUAUUUGCUCUCUAUUAUAUUUGUUGUUAUAGCUACUUUAGUUGCUUUUUAUAUCUUUACACAUAUAUCAGUCUGUUCUAUACUCUUUGUUUUUCAGUAAAUAUGAUUUGCUUUCGUGGCUUUGACGUGCCCACUGGAAAAUCUUGAUUGUGGUUUCCUACCCUCCAUUUUUCCAGGUGGCUCGGGUAAGGAGUUGGCUUUUGGCGUGCCGAGAGGAUGUUCUAGCUAGACUGUAGUAGCGACCGUUACCCUUGUUAUGUUUAUUUUUCGUUUUUAGUAAUUUAAAUAAUUAAAUGGUUCAGUUAGAUGAUUAUUAUUACUGUUUGAGUAUUUGUGAACCUGUUUGAGUUGGUGAUUUCCUAUUAUGCAUGUGUUGGUAGCCGAAAUCUCUAAUCCCUGACCCGGUCAAAGAUCCUCCUCGGGGAGUGCGUCGGGAUGCGAAACGGCUGUGAAUAGUGACCCUCGAAGUUUGCGCCCUUCGAUUGAUCAAGCGAUUCGGCUGACGAGGGAUCAGUCAGCCGGGUUCGAAACCUCUACAGCAAAUUCAGUUCGGUUGGAUGAGCCGAAUGAACAAAAAAAGUCAGAAUUUUAGCCAAGGAAUGAGCCGAAUGGCUAAUACAGCACAGGAACUGGUCGGCCUGAAGAGCCGAACACUGCCUUCUAUUGAAAGAGAACGGAGAAAGUACAGGAAAGAGAGUUUUAGUCUACAGCGGAGUGAUGCCCAAAGGGCAGACAAACUCCAGGAUGCUAAGUUACAGGAACUACUCCUAGAGAAAGCAGUAAAUGCGAGAAAGAAAGAAGUAGGGAAAAUAAGGUUGGUCUUUUGUAUGCAGGGGCCAAGACCCUUUUUUCAGGGUACUAUAUGCCUAUUUAUAGAGUUGCCCCUGCAUUGGUUAUUGCCCUCGCACGAUCAGCCACUAUCUCCUCGUUUGUAGGACCACCUUCGGCCGAUCGGAAUCGCUCGUAACCGCUUGCGGUUGCUAUAACUCUUUGAUCCAGCGCAGCUCAUGUAUCUUCUGGUGCGUCUGAGUACUCCCGGUCCACCGUUUUAACCGUAUUAUGGAUAUGGACCCGGUGUGCCAGCUGUUCGCGCCGAAUUGGCUCAACAGCAUGCAAAUGAAAUUUUAUAAAUAAUUGGUUCUUGGAUUUAUAUAUUUAUAAAUCGUGGUUUUCUACCUCUCGAGGUAGCCGGUUUUCAAAAUGAAGUUUCUGAGUCGGAAACAGUUUUAAAAGGUUUUCGAAUGAUUUUUAUGAAUGAUUAAAUAAAGUUUAAAAACAAAGCUUACGGGUGGGGAGCACUUUUAAUUAGGAUAACUAUUGUAUUGCGCAUCGCAUCAUCUUGCGCCUAAGGAGUGUUUAGAGGCAUGCAUCAUUCCUAAGGAUCACUGGCUGUAUGGAAAUACAUCACAUGAAUUAUUUUGUGGAUUGGUGAAUGUAUGUUGUUGUUGUAAUUCUGAUGUUGUUGUUGGUACUUCGUGCAAAUAUAAAGGAGACUCUAUGCGUGUGGUCAGAGAAACUUUGUAUUUGUGGCGAGUCUGUACGUCACGUGGGCCAGGUUGAAUUAUAAAAAAAGAAGGGCACGUUUUCUACAACUCUGGUUUCUAAAAUAGUAAUUGUUAUAAAAAGAUUUUAAAAUCGGCCCCGGGGCGUGACAUAGUAGCCCGUUCUCGUACUCAUAGAACUUAAGUAAAGGAUCGAUACACUACCACUGAUCCUCAAUAGUAUUAAUCCAAAUGUUAGAAAUGAUCAAAGGGGCUGAUCUAAGGGCCAAAAAGUUGGAAGCAUCCGAUCCUCUAUGCUUCCGAUAGCAUAGUAGCUCUACUCUAAAUUUAAUAUAUUUUUUAAUUUAUUUAUAUCUAUACUAUAUAUAUAAAAGCGCAUAAAAAAUCUUACAAUGUCAGACAGAAUUAAAAAAGGAAUACGAAAAUAUUCUCUACGAACGAUUAUGAUCAGAUUGAUCAGAAUUUGCAAAAUAUAUAAAACUAUUCAAUAUAUAUCUAAACUAUAUAUGAAAGUGUUUAAAAAAUCUUACAAUGAUAGAUAAAAUUAAAAAAGAAUAAAAGAAUAUUCCUUUUGUAUUAAAUCUCGGUAUUUAAUAAAAAAAUUUUAAUUUAAGGAUAAGAUUAAAUAACAAUGUUUAAAAGGUAAGGUUAUCUUAAUACUAUCUAUUAAUAUUUAGUUUUUAUAUUAACUUUUUAUUGAUUGCAACCGACAAACAAAUUUGAAAUUUAAUUUCAGAUAUAUAUUUAAAUUUUAUUAUUAUAUAAUUUAAAUUUAUAUUUAUGAAUUUUUAAAUUAAAAUUAAAAUUAAAAUUUGAGUUUAAAUCAUUUAACUAAAGUGGAUCGAAGACAAAUUUUAAAUUUUGAAUUAAAUGUGAAUUAAAAUUGGCCAAUUUGCAUAAAAAAUCCACUUAUUUUGGGCUUUUGCAAAAUCGGGUCACCUUUUUCGUUUUUGCAGAUUCGGUCCGUUUUUUCAGCAAACUGACCAAAAUACCCUUAUUACUUUUUCUCUUUCCUUUUUCUCUCUCCUCUUCGUUCUCUCGUUCUUUUAAUUUUUUUUCCGCCGGAAAAAAAAAAAGCGGAGGUCAGGCGGAGGAAUUUUUUCUUCCCUUUUUCUUUUUCUUCUUCUUCCUCCUGCUAGAACACCUUUUUUUUUUCCUUCUUCUUCUUCUUCUCCUUCUUCUUCCUUUAAGAGCAC
Molecule: long non-coding RNA, 78842 nt
Filed under: Ananas comosus (pineapple)
Lineage: Eukaryota; Viridiplantae; Streptophyta; Magnoliopsida; Poales; Bromeliaceae
Description: long non-coding RNA (ACOM_LNC005281)
Source: RNAcentral